Molecule: long non-coding RNA, 56236 nt
Filed under: Brassica napus (rape)
Lineage: Eukaryota; Viridiplantae; Streptophyta; Magnoliopsida; Brassicales; Brassicaceae
Description: long non-coding RNA (BNAP_LNC002771)
Source: RNAcentral
UACACAUUGUGUUUUGCUGCAGCGUGAGUUCUAUCUUGAAGGUGGUGCUAUGGUUUUGGCUGAUGGAGGCGUUGUGUGUAUUGAUGAAUUUGACAAGAUGAGACCGGAAGAUAGGUAAUUCAAAUCAGAAUCAUAGGGUAAAGAGAAUCUAAUUCUUCUUGAUGACUAGAAUUUGACAGAAGGUUUUUCAUGCAUAUAGAGUUGCUAUUCAUGAAGCAAUGGAGCAGCAGACCAUCUCCAUUGCAAAAGCUGGAAUAACAACUGUCCUAAACUCUAGAACCUCGGUUCUUGCAGCUGCUAACCCUCCCUCUGGUCGAUAUGAUGAUCUUAAGGUUUGACAUUCUUUGUCAGUACAAUUGUUUGACCUAAUCUUGUUUGCAGUAUUCUUAGUAGGGGUUUUUGUUUUUUUUGGGUUUGCAGACUGCACAGGACAACAUUGAUUUGCAGACGACAAUUCUUUCUAGAUUUGAUCUUAUCUUCAUUGUCAAGGACAUCAGGAAGUAUUCCCAAGACAAGGUAAGCCGGAGUCUAAUCAAAUGAAUGUUGCUUACUAAACAAUGAAACAGAGAUUACAGUAAUUUGUUUGAUUGCUUGGGUUGACAUAGGACUAAUGUUGGAAUGAUCUCUUGACAGGAAAUAGCCAGCCAUAUUAUAAGGGUUCAUGCAUCUGCAGACAAAGUUACAGAUGAAAACACAGAUUCUAAGGAAGAUAAUUGGCUCAAGAGGUGUGUUGCGUUCAUCAUGUCUUUUGAAGUUUCUUAUACAAAAGUUGUGUCUCUAAAAUGUAAAUGAUCUUGUCACUGUAGGUAUAUACAAUACUGCCGAUCAAGAUGUCAUCCCCGUCUCACAGAAGCCGCAGCUAUGAAGCUGCAGCAGCAAUAUGUCAAGAUCAGAGAGGAUAUGAAGAGACGUGCACAUGAAACAGGAGAGGCAGCCCCAAUACCUAUCACAGUCAGACAACUCGAAGCUAUUGUCAGACUGAGUGAGUCGCUUGCAAAAAUGAGACUGUAAGUAAAUCUUCUUGUUAGCAUAAAGAUUCCUGAAACCUGCUGGGCGUGUAUUGACAUUGCUAUAUCGGCCAGGUCACACGAUGCCACAGAAGAUGAUGUAGGCAAAGCUUUUAAGCUUUUCGAUACCUCAACAAUGGAUGCAGCAAGGUCAGGGAUAAAUCAACAGAUUAACAUAACGAGCGAGAUGGCCAACGAGAUAAAGGUUAGUGUGAAGAAAUAAUCAUAUAUAGCUUUUAUAAUGUUGAUGGAGAUGUAUUUUGACUAAUUGAGUUGAUGUGAAAACAGCAAGCGGAAACACAGAUUAAGAGAAGAAUGGGGAUUGGAGCAAGGUUAUCAGAGAGAAGACUUAUCGAGGAUUUAGCUAGAAUGGGAAUGAACGAUUCAAUGGUAAGUACCUAAUUAUACAAAAUCAAUUGUAGUUGUUUAUUCCUCAUCACCAAUUAGUGAUGUGGAUUUUGACUUUGUGUGUGAAUGUUAAAAAUGGCAGGUGAGGAGGGCUCUGUUGAUAAUGCAUCAGAGAGGUGAAGUUGAGUACCAGCGAGAGAGACGUUCCAUUGUUCGCAAAGCUUGAUCUUCUUCUUCGCUCACUAUCUCUCUUCUUUAGUCUCUCAGGAUCUUCAAAAAGACAAUAUUCAGUAUUGUUAAGUUAAUUUGGAGGAACAGAAACUUACGUCAUGUGUAUUUGAUGAAGAUCCUUUAGUAAACUUUUAUGCCCUCUUGAAACUAAUAUUUUCUCCUCCAAUGUUAUCUUGUGUUGCAAUUUCUUGACCAAAUGUUAAGAAAGCUUUACGAGUUAGUUAGCUGAUAGGUAAACAAAACACCAUCAUCGACAACAAUCACUGGUUAAACCACGUCUAACGUAAGCUGGAUUCAAUUAAAAAGCCAUCUUGUAUUUGUAUAGACGAUGUUCUUAUCAACAUUAAUAACCAGUGUUUAUAUAAUAACGGAAGUGUAAAACUCACAACAAUCUCUGCUAUCCUGCAAAGGAUUCUUAAUUCUUCUCGAGCAGCCAAACUCUUAGAGGCAAUCUAGGACAAGUAAAUCCAUUUGCUGACACUAUCAUCUUCAGUUGUGUCUGCAAACUCAUGACAACUAUAUCUGAGACCAACUCCAUUAUAUACUACAAAGUACAAAAUCAAUUUGCAUAUUCAAUUGUUUUAUGUCUUAGAGAAAACUCAAGACUGGUUUUGUUAGAGCUUGUCAACUUCACAAACAUUUGCGCGAGCCAGAUGACCACUGAGAUAACAGUUUUAUAGUCGUUUAUCUUUUAUCUUUCUGGUUGGAAUUUGAAGAAAGAAUCAUAUCCUUAAUAUAAAAAAAGAUUAUAACAAAAGCAUAACAACAAUAGAAUCAUGUUUUAUUACAUAACUCUCGAUGUGUAGAAACGCCAUGACAAGUAGCCAAUUUAUAGAUGGCAAUCACCCAUAAUUAGUCAAUUUAUAUGAUGAGUUAUGUAACCAAUUUAUAAUUUAUAUGAUGAGCCUGCACUGCACCGGUCCUGAUUUUUUGUUGACGGGAAGCAAAAAAAAAAGAGAGAAGUUGUUAUCAAUGAUUGAACUAAGAAAUUGAUGUUACCGGUGAUAAGUAAAUCACUACACUAUAGACAUUUUACUGAGGCCGAAAUUUGUUAAUAAUAUUGAAGGCUGGAGGCCAGUGCUUCCAGCCUUCCCCUCAGGACCGCCAUUGUCUGGAACAUCAUGACAAAUAGUAAAUUUAUCUUCUGAUUUCUGGAAGUUUAUUUUUAUGAAAACUUUUGUCUAUGUCUCUUUUUAUCUUUAAGAUUUGGAUGGUUUUUUGGACAUUAUAUAUUCAUACUGUAAACAUACUCUGUGCUUUUCAUUUCUGUUGAACAAGGAUUUUAUUUUCUAGCACCAUCAACCUCAAUUUAUUAUUAUGAAAAAGAACAUAACAAAAGCAUAACAAAAAACAAGAAAUAGAAAAAAAAAAAGAACAGAAUAAUAAUUUAUUACAUAACUCUCGAUGCGUCUCCUUUACUUUAUUCUCUCACUCGUCCAUCCUGUCACCAGCUUCUUUUUUUAUCCUUAAGCUAAGAAUAAUUUCACUAUUGAUAUCAUUUCUUAACCAAGAGAAAUGAAAUCAAAACCGAAGAAUAUUCCAAGUAGGAACUUCCUUCUUUAUCUUUAAUCUUUAUAAAGCCAUUUUCUCUAACUUUAUUGAUCAAAUCAUACGUCUUGUGCUUAAAAUAUCAUUGUAGUUUGGCUUAGACGGUGUAGUGCUGGUUAAGAUUGUCAAUGUCAAGGCCCUUAAGCUUUACGACAGACUCCACGUGGCCUUUGAGAGUGUGCACUUCUCUUAGCCUGCAUUGCAUGCACACCACAACUCUCACCAAUCUUGUAAUAGAAAAAUGUCUAGUGAUUGAAUCUUUGGAAGUAAUCAGUUACAUACCUUGCGACUUCAGCACGCUUUUUAGCCUGUUCAGCGAUCUCAGAGAGCUCGGUGAAGGUUGCCUUGUCUUCAAACAUUGACUCCGGGGGUUUAAGUCCAUGGAGUGUACGUUGAGCUAGAGCCCACUGGGCCUCUCUUUCUCCUCUUCCGUAGUCUUUCUUGGUUGUGAAUGCAGUCUUUGAUUAUUAUAAAAAGGGAAAGAAUGUCAGUAUAUUAUGUAGUUCAAAAAAUUAAAGAUUAAAACUGCUAAUAACAUUACCCUAUUCUCAAUCAUGUUAUUCCAAGCUUUGCCAGUAAGGAUGUAGCGGGUGAUGAACUUGAGGACGUCAAGAGGAAUGUAUGUGAUGAUACUGUAAAUCCAGAUGACUCCACACCAUCCCCAUCCGCACCCUUUGAUUCUCGCAAAUUCCCAAUGUGCGUAAGCAGCAAUUAAUGUUGCAGCCUGUUGUUAUUUGGGAAAAGAUUAUAAGAGUAAUUAAUUUAUAUGCCAUAAUUAAUGUGUAUGUACUAUAUGGAACCAAACCACAUACCAGUUGGGCAAUAAGGAAUGCAAUAAGAAGAAGAAAUCCAGGGCGUUCCACAAAGGACCAGCUCCUUGAUCGUGUCACAAAGAUUAGUGCUUGACUAAUUAUACUGACUUGCAAAUACAAAACUGCUAUCAACUCCUCUGGUUGGCCUUUUAGUGAUCUUACUCCAAACUUUUGCUACACUCACCAAACACCACCAAAACAAUUAAUUAGAACGGUGGACAUUUUUGCUAUUUUUUAUUAAAUUGAAUUAUUAUUACCGGGAAGAAGUCAGUGUCAUGAGCAAGCCAGAAGAAAAGGACGGUAAUGAGAGCCAUGUAUGUUCCAAGAACAACUCCAGUAGCAAAGAUCUCUUUAAGCUUCCACGAAUCAGGAAUCGGGGAAGGCUUGACUCUGUCUUUCGAAAUGGUCAUGAUGGUCCCGUCGUUAAGGAUCGCAAUAAUGAGAACCAUAAAGGGAGAAAAGUCAAACUCCCAAAUGAGAGCCACGAGCAUAAAGCCUAGGACAAUACGAAUGGUGAUGGAAACCGCAUAGAUUGUGUAGUUCUUCAUCCGUUGAAAGAUAGCUCGACUUGUGAGCACCGCACUGAUGAUCACACUAAGACCUGGCUCGGUCAAGACAAUAUCCGAAGCGCUUCUUGCAGCAUCGGUUGCGUCAUCCACUGCUAUACCAAUGUCUGCUUUUUUCAGCGCUGGCGCGUCGUUCACACCGUCACCGGUCAUUCCAACUAUAUGUUUCUUUUCUUGGAGUCUCCUUACAAUCUCGUACUUGUGCUCUAUAAUACAAGUAAUUAUUGAGCCAAAAUAAAUAAAUAAAAAUAAUUUAGAAUAUCUGAUUGGUGAGACGAAAGGUUUCUUAGUUAGUUACCAGGAAACACUCCAGCAAAUCCAUCAGCCUUCUCAAUGAGCUCAUCAACCGGAACUCCACCGGUGGCAUCAUCUUUGUUUUCGAGCAAAGAAGAGGAAGGAUACAUGUUAGUUCCCAUCCCAAGCCUACGACCAGUUUCUUUACCAAUAGCCAACUGAUCUCCAGUGAUCAUCUUAACAUUGACACCAAGAUCAAGCGCACGUCUGAUGGUCUCGGCACUAUCGUGCCUCGGAGGGUCGAAGAGCGGGAGAAGACCAACGAACUCCCAAGGAGUUCCAGCGCUUUCUUUGUCCUUUUCAGGAACCGUUUGGCGUCCAACGCCGAGAGAACGAAGGCCACGCUCGGCGAACUUGUCGAUGAUGUCGUGCGCACGUUUUAGUGCCUCUCCUUUGAGGUCACAGAGAGAAAUGAUUUGCUCGGGGGCGCCUUUGCUGCAUCUAUGCCAGUCUCCACUGCCAUCGAUGUACGUGAUUGCGGUACGUUUUUCGACGGGGUUGAAUGGUAAGAAAUGGACUUCGGUUAUUCCAGCUCUCGCCUCUUUUGGAUCGCCCAACAUGUUGACAAUGCAUGCAUCGAUGGCGUCUUGGUUCUCUACUCUUGAUGCUCUUGCUGAGAGUAGUAUCACUGUAUCUUUGUCCGCGUUUUUACAGAAAACCUACAAAGAUUUUUUUAAUUAAAAAUAAUUUAAAUAAUACACAUAUCAAUUAAUGCGAUGAUGAUAAUUUUUUAAUUAAAUUACCUCAAUCAAGUUCUUGUCAACGGUUAGUUUGUUGAGAGUGAGGGUACCGGUUUUGUCGCUGCAAAGAACGUCCAUGCCAGCCAUUUCUUCAAUGGCGGUCAUACGUUUUGUGAUGGCACCUUGCUGAGACAACCUAUGAGAUCCAAUAGCCAUUGUCACUGACAAGACAGUUGGCAUGGCAAUUGGGAUACCUCCGAUGAGAAGGACAAGAAGAUUGUCGAUUCCAUCUCUGUACUUCCUAUGCUGGAUUGGAUACAUUACUAUUAUCUCAAUCAACAUUCCUAUCGCGAUUGAGCAGAUACAGAAAUUACCAAUCGCGGUUAGGACCUGAAACAUCCAAAGGCCAAUCAGUUUAAAUGUUUGCUUGCAUCGCAAGUAAAAAAUCAGAAGAAUUAGUUUUAAUCAUUGUUAUACCGUUUGGAAAUGGCCAACGUUGUUAGUACUGUCAACAAGGUGAGCAGCCUUGCCAAAGAAGGUAUGCACACCGGUGGCGAUGACAACGGCCUCGAUCUCACCCUGUUUACAAGUGGAGCCAGAGAAGACCUCGUCUCCCGGAUAUUUAGUGGCGGGUAGAGAUUCACCGGUGAGUGCAGACUGGUCGAUUUUUAAAGGAUCACCUUCGAGGAGACGAGAAUCCGCUGGAACAAUAUCACCCAGCUUAAUGCUGAUUAAGUCACCUGGCACCAGCAUUGCAGCUUCUUGCUCUCCCCAUUUACCAUCUCUCAAUACCUUUGCUUUAGGUGCAAGAUUGGCCAUGAGAGCAGCCGCGGCAUUACCUGCGUUGUUCUCCUCAAUGAAACUGAUUGUUGAAUUUAUAAUAAGCAGACACAUGAUCCCAACGAAGUCUUGCCAAUCCGGGGGUCUUCCGUCACCGUUUGCCAACACGAUGGCCAUGAUUGCUGCUGCCUCCAUCACCCAUGAAAGUGGAUUCCACAUAAACCCUAAGAACUUUAGGAACUUGUUUUCCACUUUCUCUUCCAGUUUGUUGGCCCCAAAGAUCUGGAGUCUGUUUCUUCCUUCCUCUGAUGACAGACCUUCCCUUGAGCAUUUUAGCUGUUGGAACACUUCGUCCACCGGAAUCUUCUCCUGUAAUUAGAUAAAUAAAAUCCAUGUUAUAAGUUUGAAUAUUUGAUAUUCUGAAUAUGUUAGGAAUAAAAUAAAAUAAAAUACUAACAAGAUCAACGUUCUCCUUCUUUAUUUCUUCCCAUGAAAUAUCAGCAGCCAUGGUGAAUCAACCCAAGAGAACAAACAAAAACAAUGAAAAUGUAACUUUUUCCCUUUCAAGCUGUUUUGAAGCCAGAAAAGAGAGGUUUUCUUUAAGGUUGUGAUGUUCUGUGGAGGCACAGAAGUGGUUUUUAUAUACACACACACUUACAUAGGUGGCUUUGUAUGGUUUAAUGGUUUGUGGCACACCUUAUUUUCCGGUAUUUUGACAAUGUAUGUGUCCAAUUCUGAACUGUUUUCAUGCCUUUUCUUAUGCAUCCCUUUGUUUUGUUCUGUUUCUUAACUAAAAAGAAAACGAAAAAAAUCGAUUCAGUUGCCUCUCCAUAAAUAGUAAACGGACAGAAAUUAGGUUCACUCCAAACUUUAAAUUCACCCCACGGAUACAUGGAUUAUUAAUUAAAAAAUAUUAAACUAAAUAAAAAAUAGCUACAAAAACCUUCGAGGAGACGAGAAUCCGCUGGAACAAUAUCACCCAGCUUAAUGCUGAUUAAGUCACCUGGCACCAGCAUUGCAGCUUCUUGCUCUCCCCAUUUACCAUCUCUCAAUACCUUUGCUUUAGGUGCAAGAUUGGCCAUGAGAGCAGCCGCGGCAUUACCUGCGUUGUUCUCCUCAAUGAAACUGAUUGUUGAAUUUAUAAUAAGCAGACACAUGAUCCCAACGAAGUCUUGCCAAUCCGGGGGUCUUCCGUCACCGUUUGCCAACACGAUGGCCAUGAUUGCUGCUGCCUCCAUCACCCAUGAAAGUGGAUUCCACAUAAACCCUAAGAACUUUAGGAACUUGUUUUCCACUUUCUCUUCCAGUUUGUUGGCCCCAAAGAUCUGGAGUCUGUUUCUUCCUUCCUCUGAUGACAGACCUUCCCUUGAGCAUUUUAGCUGUUGGAACACUUCGUCCACCGGAAUCUUCUCCUGUAAUUAGAUAAAUAAAAUCCAUGUUAUAAGUUUGAAUAUUUGAUAUUCUGAAUAUGUUAGGAAUAAAAUAAAAUAAAAUACUAACAAGAUCAACGUUCUCCUUCUUUAUUUCUUCCCAUGAAAUAUCAGCAGCCAUGGUGAAUCAACCCAAGAGAACAAACAAAAACAAUGAAAAUGUAACUUUUUCCCUUUCAAGCUGUUUUGAAGCCAGAAAAGAGAGGUUUUCUUUAAGUUUGUGAUGUUUUGUGGAGGCACAGAAGUGGUGUUUAUAUACACACACACUUACAUAGGUGGCUUUGUAUGGUUUAAUGGUUUGUGGCAGACCUUAUUUUCAGGUAUUUUGACAAUGUAUGUGUCCAAUUUUGAACUGUUUUCAUGCCUUUUCUUAUGCAUCGCUUUGUUUUGUUCUGUGUUUCUUAACUAAAAAGAAAACGAAAAAAGUCGAUUCAGUUGCCUCUCCAUAAAUAGUAAAUUUACAGUACUCCAGUAACAAACUAAAACAUUUACUUUCUCAAAACUGUUUAAAUUAGACUUUAAAAUAUUAUCAUAUAAUACAAGUGGCAAAUGAAAAAAUCAAAUCCGAGUUUAAUUCACUUGGAACAGAAAAAACUUACAUUUUAUAGUUCAGUUUAUUUACAUGUUUUAAUUAUAUGUUAAAAUAAAUAAUUAAUACCUUUUUAAUAAAUGUUAAAUUAAACUAAAAAUAUGUAUGUCAAGUAGAAAUCUAAUCACCAAAGUCUUUUAAAUAUGUAUAGUCUGUCGAAUCUUCAAAUAUUUAGAUUCAUUUAUGUUUAUGUAGAGAAUUUUUGAAAUUAUUUUUAUAAGCGAAAUUGAGUAAAUAUAGAAUACAGAAAAAGAAUUAACCAUUUUUUGUGGAGAUUACUAUCAAAAUCACUAGCCACUGGGAGCAACCUCAAAAGAAGACAUGUUACUCAAGAUGAUCUAUGUAAACGAUGUUGUUCUGCUCCUGAGACAGAGGUACACUUAUUUUUUUACUGCCCUUAUGCUCAACGUAUUAGGCGAGGUUCCGGAAUAUCAAAUACCACAUUACUCAAUGUACAAGCUACAUUAGAAGAGAAGAUUGAUGUCUGUCUCACGUGCAACAUAUCAUCAAGAUGGCCACAGUUCCAAGAUUUUCCUAUAAGUGUUCUUUGGCGAAUCUGGAAAAGUAAGAAUAACCUCAUAUUCCAACAUCGGAAUACACAAUGGUGAAGAGUUCUGGAACAAGCGAAAACAGAGGCACAAGAGUGGCCAAAGGCAAGAUAUACGGUUCCUCUACAACAGAACAAUGGUGAUUAUGGUGAAUAUAAGGGAGCAGGACAUGCGAAAGGAAAUAUGGUUUCAUCACCAUUGGAAGCGGAAUAUAAUGCACUAAUAGUAGCUAUGCAACAAUGUUGGAUAAGAGGCUAUACUAAAGUGAUCUUUGAAGGUGAUAACAAGAAAAUGUUUGAUAAUCUACAAUCAAGGAAAUUGCAGUUUGGUUUGUAUAAUUGGGUUAGAGAAGCAAGAUGGUGGAGCAGACAGUUUCAGGAGGUUAAAUUCAAAUGGAUCAACAGAGCUGGCAAUGAAGUGGCGGACAAGUUAUCCAAGAUGGAUACACUGGAAUUAUUUGAAUUUUACUAUUAUAUUCCUAGAUCAGUUUCACCAUUGUUGCAUACUGACUAUAUAAAUCUUUUGAAUAAUUAAUGCAAUUGAUGUUAAAAAAAAAAGAAUACAGAAAAAGAAAUAGGUUGAGAAAGCCAUAAGAUUGUUUACUAAAUCAAAUGAGAACUAGUUAUUUCGGAUCACAUAACUCAUCCACAGUAAGUAAUCACCUCAUCUCAUUCAUUCAACUCAGCAACUCACCUUAUUGCGAAAUAGGAUAAGUUACAACAAAUCUCAUAUCUUUUUUCUUACAACAAAAUGGAAAGUUUAAACGAAUUUAGCCAGACGCACGCCCAAUUUGGAUUUCUAUGCAAACAACAUAUGAUGCUUGACUCCUUAGCCUCCUUGCUAGGUGUAUACGGUAUAUCCGUAUAUAUAUCUUAGUUGAUUCCAAAACAACAGCAGAAGAUUUACUGAACUAAAAAUUGAUAAAAUUUCACUUGCACAUAUUCAUCUAUUUCAUACUUAAAUAUAUUAUAUUGUUAUAUAAUAAUGAUUUCAAUUAGUGUUUGAUUCAUUAACUAAAUCUGAAUUUUCGGGUCCUGCUAUCUUUUUUCAAUAAACACGAAUUGAGAAUCAAAUUCUGGCCGUGUUUAAAGAGGUGGGCUGCAGGGGUAUUUUCAUCAAAAGACAUUAUUCUUAAAACCGGAAUUUCAGAGAACCGACAAAAAAAACUGGAACCAAGAUUUGAGUAAAGUACACAAAGAUUGGACAACUGAACCACAAGAAAUACGGAAACACACAAGUUUGGAAAAAAGUAAGCACUGAAGCUAACACAGUUCCUCCCCCGAGAGAACAUGAACUACUACUCAUUCUCCUUGUUGCAAUAAUACCUUACUACGGUACUCCCCCAACGCCCAUAUAGGGAAAAUGUUUCGGUAAGCAGCGUACGUUAUCAUGCAGUUCCUAUUGAAGACUCCCAUUAUUUCCUGAGAGAGAGAGGUUACUUAUCAAGCUAACCAACAGAAACUCGUUAAAGACCAAUGUGUUAAUCCAUCUCGUUACCUGUUGUGGGAAAUCACCACUCUCCAUUUGAGCAUUAAUCAAAUAUCUCGCAGCUCGAUGUAGGGGUUUUUGAUCUACCUCCACCUAAGCACACACAAAAAAAGAGAGAUAUAUAAGUGCUAAUGGAAAGGGAUUUAAAAAGAAUAGACUGAAAAUUAACUCACUUGCCCAGCACCAAUGAGUGAUAGCAAAGCCCAUGCUGUAUUCACCACAUGAGACCGGUUGCCGUCAAGGUUUGAAUAUACCUACAUUCGUAAGAAGGGAACGAUUCAUCAAGUAGCAGUAAGUAAAAAAGUCGAAUGAACAUACAAAAGUGAGUACUAACUUUGUCUUGACAUGAAAGAUAGCUUUCUCCCCAUCCGCCCGAAGGAAGUUGUUUCGACAAGAGAAAUUCACAAGCUUUCGCAACAGUUGGAGAGUUUUUCAAUGUCUUUCCAGCAGCUUCAAGCCCUUUCACUCCAAACCAUGUCCCAUACGUGAAGCAAACAGCCCAUGAUCCAUACCUUACAGAUAUAUAUAUAUAUAUAUAUAUCACAGGUUACAACUUACAAACCUACUAGAAGAUACACAAAGAAGGAAUAGUUUUUAUCAUGACUAGUAGAGACAAACCAUGAGCCAUCUGAUUCUUGAAUAGAUUCAAUGAACUUAACAGCCUUCUCAAUGCACUCAUCUACUUCCUUCUUCCGAUGACCAGGAUAUAGCUUUCUGAAUGCUAUCAACGCUUGUAUUGCAGCUGACGUACACUCCACGUAACUACAGAACCAUUCUAGCGAAUCAAGCAAAAUUUCCCAAAGCAUAAAGUAUCAAUUAAAAUGGCAAGAUGCUAGCGCCUUACGGGUAGUCAAUAACAAUAUCGCCAAAGGUUUCUGCUGGAUUGAUUAGCUGCCAACAUAUAUAAGCAAAGCAAAGGGGUAUCAGGUACAUAUGUGUUUCUGAGAGCUUGGCCACAUAGAUACAAGCUUGAGAACAUUACUGAUCUACAUCUGGGUACAUAGACUUUACCUCCAACCAAGGGUAUGACCUUGUCAGCUCAUAUGUCGCAAAACCUCCAUCUGCAUUCUGAAAUUAGAAAUUAGUUGCUAAUCAGACAAAGAAGUUGUUUUGCUUUGCGGAAAGAAAACCUAUGAGUUAUCAAUACGUAUUUGAUACAAGGAUUGUAAACAAAAGUUAACCUGUAACGAAAUGAUAACAUUAACAGCAUCAUAUAACCGUUUCGUAUCUACUGGUUCACCAACAAUCUCCUUAGGAACUUUGGAUAGUAAAAGAGCAGCCUGAAGAGAGAGAAAGAAAAAACAAACUGAUUACCACCAGAAAAGAAACCGUGAAAGGUAACUAAAUCUUUCACAUUUUUUUAUUACUUUAAGUCCCUCUGCGGUGCAAUCGGAGAUAGGCCAACCAUGAUCUGCAGUUGAGAAAGGCCAAGCCCCUUUAGAAAUGUGUCGGUACCAGUAACUCAGAUCUCCAGGGCAGUCCUCUGACACCUAUCCCAUGAGAAGAAACAAGCAUGAGAGGGAAAAUAACAUCACAUAGCAGAUCUUCUGAGAUGCCACCUAUCGCAAACCUGAGAAUUCUUGACAUAUGAAUGUGCUUUUUUCAAAACUGGCCCAUAUUCUUCUACAAAGUUGGUUGCCAGAACAGCUUGAACAGCAAAACUCGUAUCCCAUAGCUGGCUUCCAUUAUAACCCUGUCAAUUGCGGCUGCAUUAGAGUAUGGAUAAAAAAAGCAAGGAAGGGUUUUGGUUGACAGGAAAGAAAGAAACACGGAGAUGCAGAUGCUCUCAAGAGUGUUUCUUUCUUUCUUAUGACUCCAGGAUUAUUACAUUAAACACAUACUAUAGUAAAAUUCCUAAGUUCAGAUAAAUUAGUAUAGUAAUGUGAUUUCUGAUUACUGUUAGAUUUAAAGAUUUAUAUUUGUGAAAAAAAAAAGAUUAUAUUUGUAUACUGUUGCGUUAAUGAUUCAAGCGGCGUGAUAAUGUACUGAUUCGGCAGUCAGUCACCUUCUUCCAUGUGACAAACAUAUCAUAAUCAUGUAUAAAAAAUAUUCGGUACCUGCAUCUUCAUUCCAUCUUCAGCUACCCAAAGAUAGUCAUGGAUUCUUGGUAGGUGCAACUUAAAAGCCUCUGAGUUUGGGUCCUCUACCCAACAACAAAGCAUAUUUAAUACCUGUUAUAAGAGAACAAGGAAAAGAUGAUUAAAGUAGAGGGUUCAAAAACAGAAUAGAGCAUGAGGUUUUUGAAAUAUCCCCAAACUGAGCAUUUUAGAUAAUAACAAUGGACAAUGAAAAAAUGGUACCGAAGAUGUUGUGAAUUUUGGAUUUGCAUACCUUAUUCACGGGUCCUAUGCAGAUGUACCUUGUGUUCUCAUCUUCGUAAUGAAUGUGUUCUAAAGUGGUUCUGAGAGCCUUUUCUCUCAAAUUUGAACCCGGCCAUCGCGUUAAAACAGGCUCAACGAUCUUGUGAAGUGAUGCCCAAAGAAUAUCUUGGACAAGUGGGUGUGGGUAGUAUAAAUCCUCCUUCAAUAUAAAAGCAACUAUGAGUUACUGCAUAUUCUGUAUUCUAUCAAGAAUCAUUAGUUGUGUUAUCCAGCCAGCCAAGGAUCUCAUUAUAAAAUAAAAAUCCUCAGAUUACAAUUCAACAUCAGUUCGACUAACCUUUGCACAAAGGUUGCGUGCUUCAUUCCAGUCGACUUCAUGAUAUGGUACAGUGAAAAGCUCUUUUCUCAGUGAUAAAACAGUGGACGUUAUGGGACCCACGAACCGUUUUCCGUACAAAUACGACAUUGGUAAGUAGACCAUCCGACAAUGGCACCACAUCCUUCCUGGAGCACGAAAAUUAUUAUUAUGCUUUAGCUCUACUGUGCCCUAUAUCUAAAUAAGAACUACAAAACAAGCUGUAUUAAGAAAAAAACAUAUCUAUCUUUAUAAAUGCACACACAGUUCAACCAUUUUAUAACUGUGCGCUUUUAAACAAGCGUGCAAAGCAGAAUAGAUUGCAAUCUAUGAUCAGAUGAAAAAAUGCUUCCCAGAUUUACUUUACUUGAGUUGUCCAUGAUUAAUGGUAUACCAUAUCACAUAAAGUCGCAAUGCUACUAGAGCACAUUUCCAAGCAGGGUAAAUAACUAUAUACAAAGUCCAAUUGUUAAUAGCUGAAACCUAAGGAACCAUAAAGGAGCUAAAACAGAAAUGGGUAUUUUGGUUUUACUGUGCUCCAUAUUAUAAAACAGCCAUUGAAUGAUAAUGCGAGGCACUUAAUUUGUAAACUGGUAAAAGAAAGAAUAUCCAAUUUGGGAGAGUAUAGAGCACCUGGAUGGAUUGGCAGAAUAUACGGAAGAAGCCAUAUCUCAGGUGGCAGUGGGUUAUUUCCAGACCAUUCAAAAGCUCCAAGUACCUUCAAUCACAGAUCCAAGCAAAAAAAGAAUGAAUCAAGUAACAGAAAUACUUAAUAUGAUUUAAACAUAGAAGGAGAGAUAGAGGUCAGUACAGAAAGCCACAUUUUCCCCCAAGAAGUGAUAUUGGUAGCGCCACCAUGAUUGAGUAUCCAGUCACGCCCUUUCUCCAUAGCUCCAUCUCCAUCGUUAGGUCCUUCUCCAAGCAACCUCAGAGUAACAUAGUUCAAGACAGACCCAAACAUGGUGCUCGGACCCUCAAUAUGUAGACCCCAACCUCCGUCCUCAUUCUGAAAACAAUUGAUUUAGAAAAUAUCAGGAAGUUGACAUUUUAAGUGUCUAAAGAACACAAUAGGAAACACAAGUAUAAGGAGAUAGUGUGUGUUUGCCUGGUGAUUAUGGAGAUAGCGGCGCAUUUCAGCUUUAUGUUGUUCUGACAAUACUGUAUUCAGAGCUCCAGUUAUGGAGAGUGUAAUUAUCUGGAAAAGAAUGUAAGCAGUGUUAGUUUUUGGCUUAGAAAGUUGAAAAAAAAAAAAGAAAAAAAAAGGAACAAACCAGUCCUGGUAGAAGAAACAUAGGACCACCAUAAUCUCCUGCCCAGUGCCCGUCACUAGCCUGUAUGGUUGAAUAGAAAUCUACACCCCUCUUUAAAGUGGUUUCCACCAUCUUCUCUGUAACAUCAUCACCGUCUUUGAUAUUCACUUGUGGUAAAACUGGUCUGCUCAAGCUUUCUCUUGAAAACUACAAUACAGAGAGAGAGAUAAUAUAUUCAAUUCGAAAUCAAAUAAAUACUGAUUUGAUUUAACCAUUAGAAAACCGAAGACUACAACACACAAGAGAUUACAAUAAGAGAAGGCCUCCGGGAGCUGCAGCAAUAAGUUAACAAAGAUGUUGAGAACUGAGCUAUAGUUACUCAGGCUCCGAAUGGUGACUGCGGUUUGAGCGGUGCGGGACAAGCGGUUUAACUACAGUGCGGUUCUAACAGUUAUAAAAAUGUAUAAAUAUAUAAUAUAUGUAGAGAUUUUUGUUACGAUGGUCACCAUUCGAAGCCUCAAAAGCACUCAGUUCACACGCUGCUGACAAGUUUGAUUUGAUUCGAUUCGAUUUGAGGCGAAAUGACGUAAAAUCCACUCCAAUAAACUAAUAAAACUACAGAUCAAAUCACCUCGCUCGCUCUCUCUCUCUCUAUAUAUAUCAUUUCACAUUCCUAAGUAACAGUGUACGAUUCAUAUGGCCAGCGAAAGUCAACGAAGGAGUGAAAGAUACCUGGAGGCGCAUAAGCAGAUCAGAGCUGUGUUUCUUCGCGAAUCGGUUCUCUCUAAACGACUUUCUCGCUUCCUCGACGGCGGCGAGCUCUUCGGGCGUCCCGAGGUUCGGAUCGAACUCCCAGAACUGCCUUCCGACGUGGUUGUUGGUCGUUCUGAGCCACGGACUACCUCCCUCGGCGAUCUUCAGUUUCCACAUUUUGGCGAGAUUGGAUGUGAAGAAGAGAUGUACUGAAUUAGCUCUUGGGAAUCAUGUGAUACACUCUAGAUACAGUUCCGAUAGUGAAGCCUGUGGACCCUUUCGCUCAACCAAAUUAUUUAAUUUUGUAUUGUUAUGAGUUAUCUGUCACUACUCCACAUAACUCAUUUUAGAACAUUUUCGUAUAAAUGGUAAUGUUAUUUAUUGGGCACAUCUUUCAAAUACUCAGAAAGAGUUUUUAAUUAAAAAAAAAACAUACGAGGAGAAAUAUUAUCCAAAAGAGGUUUUAUUAAAUUAAAUUUAAAAAAAUUCUAAUUUUCAAAAAAACUUUAUUCAAUUUCUUACUUUUCAAUUUUUAAAAAAGUUAUUUUCAAAUCCAAAAAUUCUUUUUGACAUAUUUAUAAAUUAUUAUUUUAAAUCUUAAUUAUAUACAUAUAUAUUUUAAAAAUCUUAAUUCUCUCAAACUUUCUCAAAUCUAAACCGUAAAUUUAAACUCUAGAGAUAUAAAUGUACGUGAUUUCUUUAAUAAAAUUUAUUUUGGUUAUUUUGAGUUUUGUAUGCUAUAUUUGUAAGAAAAUUUAGUACUAUUCUUAAAUAUUUCUCAUAUUUAUUUAUAUAAAUAUUUUCUUUAUAAAAAGGAGCCUAUUUUGUGCCCUCUCAUACAUGCUUUUUGCUUUCGAAAAUAAAAAUAAGAUUACCAGAGUAAAAUACACUUGGUAAAACUCAAAAUCUAGCUCACGAUAGGCCAAGCAAAGUAAACAAGGUUGCCAUUUGAACUAUAAACGACGUUGCCAUUUAAUAACCUUUGAUCAAUUGCAUGUUUGCCAAACAGCCACGGCAUACAAUGAAAGCAUACACAGACGAGAUACUCAUAAAAUCUCCUCAUAUUGACGACCACAUCAAGCAUUUGACGGCCUAUUUCAACAACCUCAACAAACACGGAAUGAAAUUCAACCCAACCAAAUGUAUUUUCAUUGUCACCCACAGCAAAUUAUUGGAUUAUAUCUUCAGCAAAAAAAAAAUCGAGGCAAACCCAAAAAAAAAAUCAUCAGUAUUACUGACCACGCAUCUCCAAAAAAUACAAAAGAGGUACAUCGACUCACAAGUGCUGCACCUGCUCUUUGCGGAACAACACAUAUGUUGAAUGAGAUGCUAAAUGCGAAGAUACCUUCAAACUAUUAAAUAAGUAUUUAUCCACCCCACGAUCUUAGAGAAGCCAUAAAAUGGAGAAAUUUUGUACUUGUACAUAUCAAUCUUAAGCUCUAUGGUAAGUAGUAUUCUAGUUAGUGGAGGAUACAAAACAAGAAAUUAACAAAUGAAUGCCUACCUACAUGUAAUUCAAUGACUUGUAAGUGCGGAUGAGUUAGAAAUAAAUAGAGCAAAGAGUAAACGGUACACAAAGUUUGUUAAUGGGGUUCGUUUCCUACAUCUUCGUGACCUCGUCCAGAUUUCGAAUCCACUAGAAUGAGAAAGUAAAUUACAACCAAUUCGCAAACGCGUAACACAAGCACAACCCUCUUGGAUCACCGCUCUCUUCUAUAUCAUGAACUCUUUAAGGUAAACUAACCUUCAGCUACACUCUCCCAGAGUUCAGACUUUAUCAGGAUAACCUAACCAUGAGCUAAACUUCCUCUGAAUCUGGAAUUCAACCUUUUAACAUGGACAUCUAUGUGUUCAUCUUUGCAACCAAUACACUCAAAUGCUUCCUUGUUCCCUCUAACAUGAAUCCCAAGGAUGCUCGAUGGUUCCUCUCUUUGACUUCAAUGAAUUAACUAGAUACCAAUUUCCAAACUCUUUCGCAUGUAUUAUUCUUCUUUUUAUAUCAUGUUUAUGCUGCAUCUUCUGAAUAUAACUACAUAAAAGGCAUGUAGGCAUGUAAUGUAUAAACUUUGUCGUCGCCUAUUUACCACCUAACGAUUUCUUGAACAUUGAUAAAUAUUAGCUAUCACCAAAAUAAAACUUUAAAGGACAGUUGGAAAGGAAACAGAAGAAUAACAGAAAAAGAUUUGUUUAUAUGUUUUUUGUUGCUAAAAUUAGCAUAUACUCCAACGGCUUUUGAAACCCAAAAUGUUUCAUUUUAAAACAUUUUUUUUAUUAUCUUGUUAGUUUCAAAAGGAAAUUGUGUAAAGAUGGUACGAAGCGAGAGAAGAGACGAAAGGGUUGUGGUUGCGAUUGAUCGAGGCAAAGGUAGCCAGGCUGCACUGAAAUGGGCUGUUGAUAAUCUUGUAACCUCGGGAGAGAGUCUUACUCUUGUUCAUGUCAAACUCAAACAAGCUUUAGUUAUAAAUGGUAUCGCUCAGAUGCUUAUUCUCUAUUCAUUCAAAUUGGUGUUCAAAUUAUUUUACAUAAACAAAUUAAAAAUCAUUAUGCUGAUUCAAUGGUGUUGAUCUUGUAGCCAACCCCAAUAAGUCUAGUAAUGACGUCAAGGAAUUGUUUCUUCCAUUCCGCUGCUUCUGCAACAGAAAAGACGUGAGUUUUUUUUUUUGCCUCUCUUCAUUGGUUUUUAGUAUUAUCGUCACAAGAAAACAUUUAAUAUGAAUAUCACCUAGGUUAGUACCAAAGCCAAAACUGUGAUUUAUGGAAUCCUAUUCGAAAUAAAAUUACUCAAACUAAUAUAUAGUUUUAAAAGAAUUUACGAACAAAAACUGUUAUUUUAAAUAUUCUAGUUUUUAUAAUAAAAUAUAUAUAUUUAUAUCUUAACCAUAAUAAUUAAAAUAUAAUAUGAAUUUAUAUAUGGUUCACCUUGACAAAUAAACAAAAAGUCUAUAUAUAGAGUUAUUAUUUUGACCAUAUAAUAAAAUAUAAAAGUGAACAAGAUGGAACAAAAAAUGCUGCAAUCACGUGAAGGACAAUUAUCCCUAUUUUAGUUGAACUUUUAUAAACAUAUCUGUAUAUUUUGAGAAAAAUAAAAAUAAAAAUGGGGGUCCCCAAAGGGUGGGGGUCCAUUCAAAUGUUUCAGUAUAAUGUCCACAAGUCCGGCUCUGGUUAGUAGUUAGUUCUUUUUAUGAUUAUAUAUUCGUAGAGAUAGACGUAAUAUGGUCAAAAUGUUUGAAGAUUGGGAGUAUUGUUAACAGAUAAGAUGUGAAGAUGCGGUAUUGGAGGAUGUCGAUGCUGCUAAAGGAAUCAUAGACUAUGUCAAAGAGAAUGCAAUUGAUAUUCUAGUACUCGGUGCAUCCAAGAUGACUCUGUUAAAGUAUGCAUAUUUCUUCACGCAACUUCUUUAAUUAUCAACACAAAAAUAGUAUAUUAUGAGUGUUGUAAUCUUGUGUGUUUCAAUAGACGGUUCAAAGCGGCAGAUGUUACCAGCAUGGUGAUGAAAGGGGCAGCUAAUUUCUGUACGGUUUAUGCAAUCUCCGGAAGUAAAAUAUCGUCGGUUAGAUCAGCUACGUCUUCACCUCCCCCACUUUGCGCAAUACGUCCACAAAUAACAGCUCGGCCUAGCAACAACUCAAUGGGCCAAGGUGAAACUCAGGACGAGAUCGUGAUCAAGUAUAAGUAUGUUCCGUAAACAACAACGUGCUUGUCAUUAUUAUUCAUAUUCUGUUGCACAAAACUAAGUAACAAAUAAUUUGAAUAGGUCUCAAAGAGGAUUUGACCAGGCCUCAGUGACAGACUCCGACAUGUCGUUUGUGAGUAGUGAUAGGCCAAGCGUCGAUCUUAUGUUCCCAACGUCACGUCUCUCUAUUUACUCUGAGUUCGAAGACAACCGAUGCAGCUUUGCCACAUCCUCAUGCUCAUCAGAGAAACAAUCCGUAGACUUGGGUUCUUCAUAUUCGGCAUUCUCCCCAGGCUCUCAGGGAAGUGGGAGACUCUCCACGUGGUCACUCCAGGUAAAUAAUACUAUUUAUUAAUCAUUUCCAGUUUUUAUUAUUAUUUUUAUUAACCAAUCAUUAACAGACUAUAAAUCUUUACAGGAUGAUGUACAAGCUGAGAUGAGAAGAUUGAAAAUGGAGCUCAGGUAUACAAUGGAAAUGUAUAGCACCGCCUGUAAAGAAGCAAUCACAGCCAAGAACAUGGUAAUAAAUAUAUGUAAUCGAAAUAAAAUCACACAAAUUUCGAGAUAAAUGACAUUUAAAUAUUUGUAUUCUCAGAGUAAAGAGUUACACAAAUGGAGAGUAGAGAAGGAACACAAGCUAGAAGAAGCAAGACAGGCCAAAGAAGCGGCAAUGGCAAUGGCUGAGAACGAGAAGGCAAAGACCAGAGCAGCAAUGGAAGCAAUAGCCACCGCCAACAGAAUAGCAGAAAUCGAAGCACAGAAGAGAAAACAAAUCGAAACGGCGUCGCUUAGAGAAGCAGAAGAUAAGAACACUAGUGAUAGAAGGUAUAGGGAAUAUACAAUCGAGGAGAUCGAAGAAGCAACAGAAAAUUUCUCAAUAAAUAACAAGAUUGGAGAAGGAGGUUACGGACCUGUCUACAAGGGCACAUUAGACUACACAAAAGUGGCGAUAAAAGUCUUGAGACCGGACGCAAGGCAAGGAAGAUCGCAGUUCCAGCAAGAAGUGGAAGUCCUAACCUCGAUAAGACACCCGAACUUGGUUCUCUUGCUAGGAGCCUGCACGGAGUACGGGUGUCUAGUCUACGAACACCUCGAAAACGGCAGCGUAGAAGACCUUCUCCUCAAACGAGGAAACAACUCUCCAUCGCUUACGUGGCAGCUACGGUUCCGCAUCGCAGCCGAAAUCGCCACUAGUCUCAACUUCCUCCACCAGAUGAAACCGGAGCCGGUCGUGCACCGGGACCUUAAACCGGCUAACGUGUUGCUCGACCAGCAUAUGGUCAGCAAGAUCGCCGACGUGGGUCUCGCUAGGCUCGUCCCUCCCUCGGUCUCUGACGCCGUGACGCAGUAUCGAGUGACGUCAGCUGCUGGGACCUUGUGUUAUAUCGAUCCUGAGUACCAGCAGACGGGUAUGCUUGGGACCAAAUCAGACGUGUACUCGUUCGGGAUCACGGUGUUGCAGUUACUUACGGGGAAGCCACCGAUGAGCUUGACUCACCAGGUGCAAAAGGCGAUUGAAGGAGGGACGUUUGCUGAGAUUUUAGAUCCUGAUGUUCAUGACUGGCCACUUGAAGAGGCUUUAGUUUUAGCGAAAAUUGGUUUACAAUGCGCUGAGUUGAGGCGGAGAGACAGACCUAACUUGGGGAAGGAUGUGUUGCCUGAGCUUAAAAGGCUCAUGGAUUUAGCUGAAGAAAGCAUGUCAGAAUAACAGCGGAACUGAUAGUGUCGCAUCCACGUAAAUGCCUCUCUUUUUAUCUCUUCAGUUUUGUUAUACGUAGCAUGUCUUUGAUUUCUAAACCACUACUUCUUUUUAAACCUGUUUUAGGAGAUAUUAAGCGAUCCAUGUCUCAACAAAUAUGGGAGUGGUGGAAGUUUUAAUUACUGAACAUCCUCUUGAGGAGGUAAUACAGAGGGAGUAGAGGGCCGUGUGAAGAGGAAGAAGGAAUACACAAAUGUAAGUAAGAAAACUCAUCAGCUUGUUUUAUUGUGAAAUGGUGAAGAGCCCUAGCCAUGAAGAAAAAUUUAAUUUGUUUCUAAAAGUGUAAAUGAAUCUUCCAAAAAAUUUUCCUAUGUUGCCAGAUGCGAUUAAUGCAUCUGAUUUUGUAAGUUUUGAAUGAUUAAGUUUUUGCUUUUACAAGGUAAACACAAAAAAAAAUUAACAUUGUGUGAACAUUUUAUUAAAGCAUCCAAACAUAAGACCAUCUUUAUCGCAAGUUCUUAGUAGAGGUUUUAAACAAAAGUAGGCAUUUAAUUAAAUCAAAAUAAAUGAAAAUUAAAGUAACCGAUCCUUAAUACAGAGUUUUGACAACCGACUAUAGAGAGAUUUCUUAAUACACGUGUCACCAGGCUGUUAUUUAGGAACUUUUUUAUUUUCUCUUUUUUCUUUCUUUUCUCUUCUUUCUCUUCUUUCUCUCCUCUUCUCUCGUGUUCGUCGACUCAAAGAAAAACGACAGAGAUGCCCGCUUGAUCGCCGGCGUUCUGUUUCUCUCCGGCCGCCGAGUCUUUCACCUUUUUUUACUAGUAAGAUUUUCGUUCUCUUAUCGAUGUCUUUGUUUAUUAUUAUUAUUUUUAAUCGUUAGUUGAAUCUGUUUGCAAAUCUUCGUUGAUGUGAUUAAAUUGGCUUAGAUUAACCUUUUGUAUGUGUUUGAUUGUUGAUUGUUCGAUAUGUAUCUACUGGAGAUUGAAACAUAGGCUCAGUCUCGUGGGUACAGUAGCUUUCGAUCUGGCUUUAACCGCCGCUGCAGCCUUCGCCGCCGAUGAUCAUCUUCGUGAAAACGUCCCCGUCAUGGUGGUCGAGACUGUUUUCCCUGGAGGAUCCGACCCGAAGGCUACUGUCUCAACCCGAUUGGCUUGGUCUUGUUUUCUAAGCAGGUAACAUGACACAAGACGAGGCAUGAAGUUGGUUGCUGUUUCUAAAAAAACACGAGGCAUGAAGUUGGUAGAAAGUUACUUGGGAGUGGAAGGAUCACGGACUUGUGUCUUGUGGUGAUUGUGUCUUGUGGUGAUUGUGUAAUGUGUUUUAAGAAACCUUAUCUUUGUUCUAUCUACUUCCUCUUAAGUGCUAUCAACGCUCUCGAGAGUUAAUUGUUAUUACCGUGUGUUGUGCAGAUCAUUACAAUCAUCCAAGCAGCAGCUGGUGCUGGCCGUACAAUGCUGAUAAGUGAUAGUGGAAACGUUUACUCGUGUGGGAAAGAUUCGUUCGGUGAAGCUGAAUACGGAGGGCAAGGGUCUAAUGUUCCUGGUGUUGAUUUUGUUCUGUUUUCUCAUUGUUUCAAAUGUUCAUGUUGAUCUUGUUCAUGCUAAAAUGUUUAAAUUUAUCUUGUAAUGCAGGUCUUGUUGUCUAGUUCGUAUGUCAGGAUCACUCACUCUAUCUUCAAAGAACGUCAAGAAUGGCUCGGGAAAGGUGUGUGUGUGUGUUGGAGUGUGUGUUGGAGUGUCACGAGAUAUGUGUGUCUGUUGUAGUUGUUGUCUUGUGGCACAAACAGUUUAUAAAUCACAAGAGAAGUGUUGUUGUUGUUGUCUUGUGUCGCGGGUGAUUUAUAAAUCACAAGAGAAGUUGUAGUUGUUCUCUUGUGUCACAGACACUUUAUAAAUCACAAACACACUUGAUUCUCUUUAUAAAUCACAAUCAAUUCUUCUCCUUCUCUUCACAUUCUUCUCUUCAUUUUUUUGCUCACAUUCUUCUCUCAAAUAUGAUGGGUGUUCAAAUUACAAUUCGUAAUAGACAAAUGCAUCACCAACUCAAAACUGAUUUGGUUGAACAUUUAUGAAGUAAAUUUGUAUGUGAUGAAAACAACAACUGAGUUCGAGAUGUUUAUUUCAAAUUAUUUUCGUUUAUUGUACUAAUUUUUAUUUUUAUGUUUUCUUUUAAAUCUAUGUUUUAAAUGUUAUCUUUUAAUAUGUUUUAUUUAAUAAAUAAAUUUUAUCUUAAAAUUUUUUUUUUUUAAGAAUCUCUAAUUAAGAAACUCCCAUUGGACCACUCAAAAUAAGAGUUUCUUAACUAGAGUUCUUAAUCCCACUAAAGUACAUUUAUAUAACUAAAUUAUCAUUAAGAAACCCAUUUAAGAGUCAUGGGAUAAUCAUGCUCUAAGUAGUUGAAAUAAAAGGGAAAUAAGAAGUCAAAAGGGCCUAUUCCCAAAACUAAAACACAGCAUAACGAAAAGAAACACCAAGUGUCUCUCACGCUAUCUGUAUUGUUUAUUCAGUUUAUAAGAUGCGCAAACGCUAUCAAAAAAUUCCUUGCUUGCAGAUAAAUAUGUAUAUUUCCUUAUUGUUCUAGGGUGGAUCAUUUCUUCUUAUGCCAGAGGAACUACAGUGUGCAUCAUAUAAUAGGCACUCCGGGUAUAAGAUGUGCGGCUUCUCUUGAUAUGUUUAUGUUCUUGCAUGGCCAGUUCGUUAGGUCUACGAGACGGCCAUUUAAAUCGAAGAUUAUGAUAAGUUGUAAAGAACUGUUUCUUUCGCUCAGAUAAUCUUUUUAUUAAGAAGGAUAAAGUUUGUGUUCAAAAAAAAAAAAAAAAAAGGAUAAAGCGAGCUAAUCCUAAAUUUAUAGUUGAAUCACACAAAAAUAUAACAAAAGGCCCUCUUACUCUUUGAAGUUCAUUACUCUUACUAAACACAUUUGACUUACAUUCAAUCCGAGAAGAAGAUCACACUGAAACGCCUAGCAAAAGAGUGAAAUACACAGCUAGAAAACUACUGACGAGAAAUAUAACUUCUAUGAUUACAAAUAUAAGUCAUCGGAACCAAGAGAUCGGAGUAGAGUUCGUUUGGGGAAGCUGCGGCAUCAUACAGUGAAGAAGCUGCUGCUGUUGCUGCGGCUGCUGCCACUCAGGCAGAGAAACACUACUACCACUAGUGACGCUACUGUUUUCUUUUUCCUCCACAUCCAUGUCUGCUUCUUCCAUCAUAGUAUCAUCACCAUCCAACUCGACAAUCUCUGGCUCGCGAGGUUUCUGGAAGGUUGCUUUGGAUUCCAAAAACUGGUAAUGAGAUGGGUUCCAGGGAACAACAGCUUGUUGCUUGUUAGCUUUGUAAUCUUCUUCAUCAGCUACACCUACAUCAUGAAGAAAUCUAUCUGCACAAUAAGAUAAAAAAAAAAAGACACCUAUUAGAAACUAACCAAUUAAACACUGUCUAACAGCUUCUCAAAGACUAAUUAAUGAUUCUAAUAAACUCUCUUAAAUGCUUACUCUUCAACCCUGAGAUCAAGCUUCUAUCAACGAAGAGGUGAGGCUGGUGGUGGUGUUGAGGAGGAGGCUUGAAGAGCACAAUCGCUCUCUCUUCGUUUUGAGGAGAAGACUGGAUAUGAUCGUGAUCCUCCAUAACCACCUCUUCCUCCAUAAUCGGUGGUAAAUCCAAAUCCUGAUGCAUCGCAAAACACACAAUUAAUCAAAUAAACAAUACAUACUUAGGGUUUUCAGGAAAAUCAGAAGAGAGAAAUUACGAGUCGGCGAAUCUUUGAGGCGGGAGAAGAGAGGGAAAAAUCGGAGAAGUCGUCGUUCACUCGGUCAAUCUCCUUCCUCUUCAUCCUCGUCGGCACACAAUCGUAUCCCGCCAUGUUUUUCUUUUGACAAGAGGCGAACGAAGCGAAUCUUCCAGCGAAUGAAGAGUAUGGGAAGAGGUAGGUGCUCGCGACGCUUUUUAAAAUUUUAGCAGAGAGCUCUAAGUAGUAAGUUUAGUUCCGAAGAGGUUUGGGAGAGAGAGAGGAGAAAAGGAGGAGGAGGAGCACUUUCUCAGAUAUUCUAGAGGGAUCCAGAAACCGUAGAUUAUUUACCUUUUUCGACUAACUUAUUGGAUUAUUGGAUCCAAACUAAUCCAGUUUCAAUUACAAUCUUUAUAUUGGGUUUAUUUGUUUCCGGACCGUAUGUGAUGUGUAAUUAGGCUUUGGGUAUUUGAUUCCAUAUUCCAAUUUUGUCAUAUCUCAUAUAAAUUUAUUUUUUAAAUUAAUUACUUGUAAAUAUAUUAUUUAGUUUUGAACACUGAGUAGGGAGUUUUAUUAAAAUGCAUCACUUUCUAAUACUAAAACUAGAAUGAUAUCAUCAUGUGUUCCAAAAAAAAAACUAGAAUGAUAUCUUUUGCAGAAAAGUUUGUUAGGAAAGUUUAAUCUUUCUUUUCAAAAAUUACCACAGUUAAUUAUUUUCAAAGUAAUAAUAAAACUGUUAUUAUUUGUUUCCAAUAAAAAAAGAAACUAAAUGAUAUUUUUACAUAAUUAUUUUUUGGUAUUAUUAUUAGUGGAACAAUUCACAAUUCCGAACAAUUUUGCCUAAGCUUAAGCUGAAUAACCGACGAGUAGUUCAAGUUUUAAGUAGAAAAAAUAACUAAUUCUUAAAAUUAUAUUGAGUUAGAUAACAUUUAUGUUAGCCAACAAUUUGUGGAAAGUUUUUGUCUUUCUCUAAUUUUGACUCCAGAGAUCUUUUAUCGGUUAAUUUUGUAGUCUUGAUUAUAUAUUUAGUGAUUAAUGAAAUAUUUUAGAGACUAAAACAAUAAAAUAAAAUAAAAACAUAUAGUAGUACACAGUACCCCCAAAUAAAUGAGUAUGGGACGAGCUUUUUUGCUCAUAGAAAUUUAGGCGGUCGGUCGAAAAGGAAAUAAUAAGACUGCCGUCAAAUUUCGAUGUGUAAUUAUAAUAGUAAUCAAGAAAAUGUUAAUACCAAUUGCACAUUUUACCACUAAAAAAUGAUUUGUAGAUGCCAAAAAAAAAAAAAGACUUGCAAGUGUUAUAAGUCACAUAACUUUAUAAGAAACAUAGUUAAACAAUAGAAUAAUAACAUAAAUUUAGGUCCAAGCAAAGCAUAAUCAUAACGUACCAACAAACAUACAUAUUUCAUAUCAAUCUCUUGAACAGAAGCAUAAUACUCAUAGUAAUCCGGUUCAUUGAAAGUUUGAAACCCUUAAUAGUACUCACACGUCUCUGUCCCUUUUACAUUCGGCUGGCAUAACUGGGAACCUAGUACGGUCGGUACAGUAGUUGUAGAUGGUCCAUUUCAUGCGGACCCAUUUGAGACGACGAUAUUGUUCGGCAUCAAGGUCACGGAACUCAUUCUGAUCCCACCACAUGCGGCCUUGAGUAGCACAGUACUUGGCCUCCACAGAAGCUUGGCAGCCGUCGAUGUGGAAUCCUCUGUAGGAAGCUAUGAAGGGUGCAUUAGCCCAAUUGGUUUUCUCUAGCCCUCCUCUCGUGGCCCAAUCGUCAGCGUUCCAAAGGCUCGAGUAUAGCUUCAUCGGUUGGUUGAAUGGGAAACGUACUCCUAGAUCCUUAGCGUUCUUGAACACACGGAUUGGUAUGUUGUCAACAAAGAAUCUGAUAUAAUACAAAAAAAAAUCAAACUAACCGGUAUUAGUUUUACCACAGCGGUUUGAACAUACGACGUUCUAUAAUUAAAAUUUGAACCCCGUAUUAGGGCACAUGAUUUAACAGAUUGAAUGAGUCACUAGCCUAUCCAUCUAUGCUAGCUCAUUUGAAUAUUUUUAAAAAAAAAUUAAAAGCUGAACUUUUUUGUCUUUUUGACUCAAUUGUCUCUCUGAAAAAUCUUGCAAGACCCCACUACUUUUUACAGGAUCAAGAUUGGGUCACGCCCGAGGUUAAAAUGACACUAUUAAGAAAACUAUAAUAAUAAUAAUUUGAAAAUUGCGACAAGAUGGGAAAAAAAAGAAAUAAUAAUGGUGGUGGUAGGACCAUGUUAUACCUGACAACUUUUAACGUAUACUAAUAUAUACGAAAGUGUAAUGUAAGUAAUGAGGAUAGAGUGCAUACACAAUUUGGUAGAGGUUCCAGAGGAUGGAGUAAGUAUGAUAAGCCUUUGAAGGGUCGAACCAGAGAUAGAUGCGUUGCUCUCUGUUUCCCUUUCCUCCUGUGAACACAUUCGUCUGCAAUAUUGCUGGCUGGCCUGUCCUGUUCCCGAGAAACUCGAAAUCUAUCUCGUCAUGCUCGUUGUUAGUCGACGACAGCUUCACACAUAAAAUUUUUCAAUUAUUAGUUAGAUUUGUAUUGGUGACGGCAAUUAUACAAACAUAUUAGUAUUUUUCUUGUUUGUUUGAUAAAGGAUUAGUAUUUCUAUUUUAGUCACAUUUUUUUGAGAUUUGCGGUGAGACUCACAUAAAAUGCAGUGACGACCCCAGCGGUAUCACCAGCUGGCAGCUUUAUGUGCAUACUGAAAUGUCCGAACAAAUAUGACCCUUUGGAUUGAAACCCUGUCCCUGUUAUCAUUCACCCCAAUAAAAACAAAGUGAAUAUUGAACCCAAACAAAAAAUAAAUAAACAUAGUGACCAUUCCAGGCCGUCCCAAUGUUUUUGGAUAUCUUGCGCAAAAUCUAAAUAUAGACCUUUUUGUAUGGUUUUUAAGUUAAUGUGAAAUAAUAUUGUUUCAAAAACUGAAACUAAAGAUAGGAAACCCAAAGCUAUAUAUAUUUAUUUGCCUAUGUUUCAGACCGAACCUAAUCAUCCAAAAUAUCUUGCAGUAGUAAAUGUACCAGUGUAUUUGUCGAGGAUGAGUUGGAGUUCGGAACCGCCAUUGAGUUGCUUCUGGUGGUCAAAAGCCCAAGUUGGAACGUAGUUUCGGCCGAAUGGCACAUCAAUGGCCUUCCGUGGAGGAAUUGCCAUUACAGUAGAAGAGGCCAUCAGAAACAGAGCUACGAGAGCCCAUGGAGUUGAAGAAACAGCCAUUGCCGGUCUGGAGAGAGAGAGAGAGAUGAUGAUGAAUGAUGUGGUGAGUGAAGCUAAGGGGGUGUGGGUGGCUUUAUAUAAGAACGAAUUCUUUGGUGGGACGUUCUUCUUUAUUACGAUAAUAAACUUUUAAAAAAUCCAACUUAUUUUCAAGUUUCGCGGACCUUUCUUUUGUGAGAACUCAAAUUAUAAUGGGUUACAACUGUAAUAUGGACAUCAUACGUACAGCUAUACAGCUUUCACAAUCAGUUUUCUAUUUCAUUAUAAAAUAUUAUGCAAUGUUGGGUAAAUAAAUUGUGUUAAUAUUUCGAGUUGCGACAUAUUUGUUGACAAAACUAGACGAGUCUUUCAUUGUCUUCUUACUAACACAGUUCAGUAUUUCAUUUGACUAAUUUCAUAUAAAUGACUAAAUUGUAGGACUUCCAUCUCUAGGCUGUUUAGGAAAAGAUGAAACUACAUUAUAGCCAUGUUCUUUUUGCAAACGCUGCAACCAGCGUCGGCGUUCAAAACUUACACCUAUUUUUAUGGCAAAUACACCGCUGGCGGGACAAAACCGAUUUGUUUUCCAAAUCGCUACGGCAAAAAUAUAAAUAAACCUGACGCUGAAAAGUAGCAGCGUUAGCAACCUUCUCUAGUUGUGUCUUUGUCAGCUUGUUGGCGUUAGAUUUAGUUUUCAAAACUCGUUCAGUUUACCAUUGUCAUAGUAAUUUUUUUUUGACGCAACUGCUGGCCGCAGCGACCAUUAAAAGAACAUGGCUUAUAUACAUUUUCUUCAAAUACAAACUAGUGGCUAAUUUGUAUACUUUUUUAAUCAGAGUUAAUUUGUAGAAAUUAACUUUCAAAUCAAUGUAAUGAAUUUGUGGUUGUGUACUGUUGGGUUUUGUUUACCUUAUUAAUUGCUAUACAAAUAUAAUUUUAAAUGUAAACAAAACUGUCCGUUUGUAUAAACUUACUCUUUUCUUUGGAAAACAAUAGGAAAUCAUGAUCAAUUCAUAUAAUAAACAAAAAGUGAUGAAUUUAAAUACAGCCUUUACGUCAAUUAUAGUUAGUUUAUUACCAUUAGACAAUGAUUUUGGAGGGUUGGACUCCUUAUCUACCACCAUAUUUUAUCUGUUCUACGGAAGUUGGAUCAUGAUAAGGCACAUGCCGUUAACUAUUACACCACAGAGACAAUUUACACCUUCGAAGAGAGGAUUGGUAGAAUUGAAGAGAUUGCCUACGACCUGAAAUCAUCUCAGAUGACUGAUCAUGUGAGGACUAAAGUAACGCUCAACAUCGAGAAUCCAACAACUGCAUCUAAAAUCUUACUUCUCCUCUCUGUAAAACAAUUGUUAUUGAAUACAAGUAUGGAAAGCUCCAUAAAUGAUGUUUCUCAUGUCUCCGCAUCACACAUGAGAAAUCUUCAUGUCCUCUUCAAAAGCAAAAACAAAAACCAUAAGUUUCUGGUUUAUCAGUGGUACAAAAGAAUAAAGUCGACAUCCACAAUGCUGAUAAGAUGGAGCAGGGAGAUCUAAUCAAAACGUUGGAGGGUCCCCACAGUGUUUCUCUUAUGUUUCCCGAACUGUCUAAAACCGAUCAUCAGAUUGGCUUCAAUACUUUCUCACUCAGAUAAUUUUGGAAGGAAAGUUAGAAUUCUAAGAGCCAAGCAGUAAACUGAUGAAGCAAUUUCGGUCCCUGUUGUCCCUUUGGAUCAUGUAAUUUUAGGCAGGUUGCCUCCUUUUGCUUUACCUUGUUUUUAUUUGUUUUCUCCGGGGUAGAGUAUUAUUAGAUUUACUUUGUAAAAUCUGAACAUCAUUAAUAUGAUAUUAGCAUUCUUAGCAAAAAAAAAAAACUGAUGAAGCCAAAACUGGAGUAGAUAAAAACGUUAAAUAUGAUUUUGAACUAUAAAAACGAGAUAAAAGGUAGAAGGUGUUGACAAAACAUUCUCUAGCACACUCAAUACACUUUUGUAACUUACUUUUCUAUGCCACAAAGUUAAAUUCUAAUUGAAUGAUUAAAAACCUGAGUCGAAUGCGCAGCUGAACAAGGAAUUUAGUAGAUACAGCCAUUCCAUUCCAUUUUUUAUUUUCUUGGUUGGGUUAUUUCAUUUCUGUUUUCAAAAGCCUCGCUACUUUUCAUCCCUCGUUAUGUUCAAUUGUUCAUUGCCCAAUUCUAUGUUUUUGAUGUUUUGAAGAACUUUAUGUAACUUACGUUAUGUUUUCAUCAAAUGUAGUCAUCAAUAGUUUGGUGUUUAGUAAUUAGAAGGAUCUUAUAAUAUGUUUAGUUAUCUAUUUGUUCUUGACAUAUGUACACAACUUUUAAAUAAUUCUUAAUGAAACAGAUUAAGUUAAAACAUUUUAAAGAUCAACAAUUUUCAGUUACCCACUAGCUAGCUAGCUAUAAAGAAGAUAAGAGCGUUUGUGAAAAACCCUACCGAAGUACUUGAAUAUAUUAAGAGUAAUGACAUACUAUCAUACCGUUGACCCACCAUAAUUUAUGAUCCACUUACUUCUUGUUUUAUACAAGUCGAUUUUGUAAGUUCAAUAUUUAGGGGAUGCACACUCCUCCAUGUGAAAUAUUCAUCUUCAUAAUAAAGAAAAUGUAGUCAAUUAUCGGAAGAAUACAUGUGGAGUGUAUGAUGAGGCCGCCUUCAAGACAAGAAUAGCAACUUGGAUAGAGACAGAUUGAUCAUGUCAUUUAUCAUUGGGUGUUAGGUCUUCUUCGAGAUGUCGUUUGUGGCAACAACAACAUCACGAGCUUUUGCCUUCAUCUCUGUCACCGACAUGGUUUAAUCAUGCAUUAAUUAAGUGUUAGCAUACAUAAUAACGAAAAAAAUUACUUCCAUUGCCAAAAACAAAUUAUAUUUCCACUGUUUUAUUUUAAGUGAUGUUUAAAAAAAAUUGUUUCAAAUGAUGUUUUCAAAUUUCUGAGCUUCUAGUAUGACUAUAUGAGCACUGGUUUUUUUUUUCUCAUUGAUCUUUGUCAGUCCUAUUAAAGCUUUUGGAUCAAUAUGAGAUUAUUGUGUGCAACACCUGUCAAACAUGUGUAACAUCAAUUUUCUAUAAUCGUCACCUGGCUUCACACCCAUGAACUACCUUCGAUCCAUGAACCACCUUCGAUCUAUUGUCUCUUCUAUACUUCCAUGCCGCCAAUCUGGAUAUAUGUAUACUUGAUAGUAGGAUCUAACAUCGUGUCCAUAUACUUAGAGCAAUAGGAGCGCAGUAAACCUCAUAACCUUAUCGUCGUGUCUUAUCAUUAUUUCAAAAGGAACGAUUCCUUUAAUUCCUUUUCUGUUAAAACCAGGAGCGUCAUUCGCACCUCAGUUUUUCUUCUUGUCUUCCAGUCUCAAGAAAUUCAUUAUCAUUCAAACAUCAAACAUCAAUCAAAUAUCGACGGAUACCAUAAAUGAUUUGGAGAAUUUUUUAUAUCUACUCUCAAAAUUUUACGAACGUUCUUUACAGAAAUAUAUACGAAAGUCAUAAAAUAUUUACACCUAAGAAAAAAGAAACAAUAUAAUUUAUAUAUGGUAUACCUCCUAAUAGACUAAGCGACCGCAAAAACUAUAAAAGUUCUUUAUAUUAUUUUUCUAGCUGUUAUAGUUUUUGUCACUAUUGUUUUUAGAGAAAAGUAAUUAAUCUAUUUUCAUCAUAAAGAUUGCAAUUAUGAAUUUUAAUCUCACUAAAAAUGUUUACUAUUGCUUUAUUUUGGAUACGUUUAAUAUAUGUGUGAGUACUUCUUUUGAUGGAAAACUGUUUCUAAAGAGGAUCGGAUUAUGGUUUAAACUCCAUAUUGUACAAAAAUAGACCGCAAAUUACUUUUGAAAUAAUUUUCUUGGGACGUCCUAUAUGGCUAUAUCUCUCCGCAAAUCGCAAGUUUAGAACAAUGAAAAAGAUAAAGACUUUAAUGAACCACCCUUGAUAUCUCCAUAUUUCUUCAUACCUGUAUAUAAGGUGGAACAGCCAAAAUAAGAUCAUUUUACCGAGUAGCACCCAUGUGUCUGUUUUAAAUGGUCGGUCCAUUAUUCGGUCAGUUUAUAUCCAAUCUUCCUGAAACGAAGCUGGACUUAAUUACAUAUCUACUUUCUUAAAAGACGAUCGAGUUAGUCGUGUUAAGUCAAGAGAGUCAAUAUGUUAAAUAAAUGAGCGUGCGAAAUCGUAUUUUUAGUUUAUUGUAUUUAAUCCUAUUGUGUUCGUGAAACAGUUGAAAACACGCCCCUCUGACUUUCGAAUCUCGAUACACAUUCAUGUGGAUGAGAAUCUAAAAUAUUUAAACUAAAAAUUAUUGUGUUUGCUGCUAAAAACGAAUACAUUUUGAUGUAUAAAGCAGAGACUUAGAGCAUCAGUGGUGGCAAAGUAACGAACUUAACGGCAUUCCAAGGGAAAGCUGGAAAGGCAAAAUAGCCUCUAAACCACGUAACAAUAUUUUAUAUGGAGAAGAAUAUGAUAAUAUUUUUUGUAUACAAAGAAAACUUAAUUUACAUCAAUAUGGCAACUUUUGCGGUGUUACAUCAUACAUUUCAGUUGCUAUUUUUAAUAUAUUAUUUGUUACUUGUUAGUUUAGUUAGUAACUUCGAAUAAGUAAUCUAUCAAAUAUUAUUAGGUAAAUAAUGUCGGGUUCUUUGUAAUACCAUAGAAACAAGAGGCAAACGAUCAAUGAAAUCAAAAUAAUGUUUUAUUGAUCUUAGUAAAACUGUAAUAAACUUUUAUCAAGCAAACAUAAGAAAAUAGAAUACUAUAGAACUAAAAAGUUUUUAUUACAAAAAUAGGUUUCAAGGGUCAAAAUGACCAAAAUUAGUUUCAUUAAAGAUGUAAAGUAUAUUUGCACUUCUAGAAUUAACUAAUAUAAACUUAGGGUUUAGAUUUUAGAAAAAGGGAUUGGAAUUUAAAAUUUAAGAUUUAGAAAAUAAAAUUUAAAGUAACAAUUUCAGAUAUAUAUUUGAAAAGAAAAGUUUAAGAGAAAAUGUUUCAAGAAAAGAAAAAAAGUUCAAAAAGAAAGAUAAAAAACAAAAGUUCGGUUAAAGUUUUGAAUAUAGUUUUUAGAAAAUUAAAAAACAUAUUUUAUUUUUAAUAUUUUUAUAUAUAUAUAAAAAAGUAAGGGUAUAGUUCUUUUUUAUCACUCUAAUGAAACUUAUUUUGAUCAUUUUUGUGCUUGUGUGUCUUUUUUGUUCCCAGACAUAAUAGACGCUACAACUUUAUUACUAAGACCAAGUUAAAUGACCGUAUACAAUAUGAAUAAGUUUUGUUUUUUUUUCAACAACGUGAAUAAGUUUUGUAAAGCUCCCAAAUCCUCCAAGUUUAUAGAUAUCUAGCCCCGAUGGUAUUCAUAGUCCCACAGUCGGGUCCACUGAACUAUUCCUCACAUGAAUCACAGAAGGAGAAUGAGUGAGUAUACAAAAAUACUCGGUCAGAGAGCUCAAAACCGCCCACAUGAACCAGUAACAUAUAUAACAUCCAGCAAUGAAUUUCAUACCAGCAACUUAUCAUUCCAUUUCAAAUCAUUCCGUACUUCGCCAUUUCUCACUACUAGCCCAUUUUCCUACUACUCAGUCACUUCAUCAUAUUCGAUCCCGAAGGUCCAUCACGACCCACCCCCAAAAUUCAUCACGAUCCGUCUAUCCAUCUUGAUCCUGAAGGUCCAUUUCGACCUAACGGUCCAUCUCGAUUCCUACAUUUGCAGCUCUAUAUAAAUCGUCCUAGGUACUAUGAAUAAAACCAACUCUUUUUUUCCUAAUUUUAAACCUUAUGUUUUCUAGAGUGAUUCUAAUUUGUUCAUUGUGAAGAGUCGAUCUUUGGUGUGACUCCUCAUAUCAAAACCAAUUUAUCAAAAGAUUUCCACAAUCUCUGGUGUCACUAACUAAAGAUCUAAGGAGCCUCGUAACUUAGGUUUUGGGUGUUGGGUUUAAUAUAUUCAGAGUUCAACCCACACGACUUCUUAUAUCCAAAGCUCCAAUUGUUUAUCAUUUCUUCUAUCGAACAACAAGACUAGAAACCAAGAAACCAAGGAACAAUGCACCUAGACACCUUCCUAAUCUCAACCAAAAGGUAAGUAUUUGAAUACAAUGUUUUUUUUUUUUGUCAAACGAAUACAAUGUUCACUAAUGGUUUUUGUUCCUUGUUUCUUUUGAAUUUCCAUUUGGUUUAGCUCGUCUUUGAUUCUGAAUAAAUGGACGUCGCCAGUUAGCUUUUUAAUUUUUUUGUAUGUAAUUAUUUGCUUCAAAGACCCUAGAAAGCACCAGCUACUUGACUAUAUAUAAGGUCCAUUACAGCUGUGUAGUAUUUACUCAAUAUCAAUAAACAAACUGAAUUGUUUUUUUUGUGAACUUAAACAACAGCUGUAAUGAAACUUCUCUGCUUAGAUCAUGAGAGCAGUACCUUCUAGGCCAGAGUUGAUUGUGUGUUUUUAUCACAAGUUUUACACAACUUAUGUGGUACACUUAGUUCCAUCUUCAUCAAUCGCUUUAUUAUUGUUCACCAGCGGAAUCCAUUGAAACGAUUAGAUCGAGUCUUUGAAUCCACUUUUGGUUAAGACGGCCAAGUUUUGCCACCUCGAUUCCACAAGAAUUUGUCAACCUAGGCUUGUAUCAUGAACCAACCACAAUAUCAGGCACCAUAGUAGUAAGAGAGGACUUCAUUCAAGUUGGGGAGCACUUGAUAAUUCUAAUGAAGCAAGAAGACUUAUCCCCUAAUUGAAGAGCAAACACUCGUUUUGUCUAAUUUAAGAGCCUUAAAUACAUAUCUAUCAACCAAUCAUGGAUAAACAUCCAACGGCAUGCACCAAUCUCUAACUAAUAUCGUUUCAAAUGAGAAAAAAAAUCAUGUUUUAGAGCAACUCCAAUGAAAAGUUUUAAAGUUCUCAAAAUACAAAUUACCAAUCCAAAAAAUCUUUAAAAAAUAUGUUUGAGUUUUCCGUAAUUUUGAAAUACGAAUAAUUAAAACUAGGUGUUUUGUCCGCACAUGCGGGCAUAAUCAUCUGUCGAAUACUUAUUUUACUAUCCAAAAAUCGGCAUUAUAAAACUCUAAUUGGUGAACAUGUUGAAGGAAAAAAAAUUAUGGUGAAUUCUUUGUUCCCCAUGGAGAAAUGAAUUUAUAGGAAAAAUUUUCCUUAUGCAAUUUUGAUAAGGAACAAAUUGAACAAAAAUUCAUAUUUUUUUUUAUUUUUUCAAUUCCUCAAAUGAAAUUUUAUUUUUUAUUUUGUUCAUUUUUUUCAUUCUUUUAGUGGUCACCAACUGAAGCUAUAGUUUUUUACGAAUUAAACUUAAACCGGUUUUGAAGUAAAAGCAAGAAAAUUUGUUUUAAACUCAGUCACAAGUUAAGUUAUUAUUUAUGAUUUUAAAUAGUUAAAUCAAACAUCAAAUUAUUUAUAUAUGUCAAAAAAGCGUUCAUCAAACUAUGGACUUAUUAUUGUGUUAAAAGUUUUAAAACACGCAUAUAUUAGAAAUAGUUUAGAAAAUAUCUUUAUAUAAAUAUUUUUGUUUGACUAAUAUUCAAUUAUAAACCGUUUUAUAUCUUAGUUUUUUAACUUUAUAAUAAAAAAUAUUAUUUCAGAUAGCUAAACAAUAUAUAUAAGAAUUCUCUUAAUUUUAAAUAUAUUUUCACAAUUUUAUUAUAUUAAUUUAUAAUUAAUUAUUUAAUAUAACAUGUAAAUUUAAUAUUAUUAUAAUAAAAUGCGUGUUUUAUUAUAUAUAAAAUUUAUUACGGGUUUGUAAAAAUUAAUAAAUACUCAGUUAAAACUAAUAAUAAAUCAAUGACCUAUAUAAAAGUUUAAAACCUAAUAAAAUAUGACAAAUAAGAAAAUAAGAAUUUUAGUAUAACAUAUAGAUUUUAAUAUUAUUAAAUAAAAAUUCGUUUUUAAUUAUAUAAAAAAUUCAUUACGAUAUUUUUUAAUUAAUAAAUUAGUGAUUCAGCUAAAAAUUAUUAAUAAAUCAAUGACUAAGCUAAAACCUAAUAAAAACAUGACAAAUAAGCAAAAUUACCUAAAAUCAUGGAGAACAUGACAAAUAAGCAGAAUCACUUCAUAAAUAAUAGUAUAGAUAUUAAUACUUAGAUAUACAUAUAUGUAUUUUGUGAACAUUUUGUUGAGAAAUCCUAUUGAGGUCACUCUUAGGUUUUUUUUAUUAAAGUACAGUAAUAUUUUUAUCAGGAAAUAAAUAGAAAAGAAUACUUAAUGAGGGGGUUAUUCCGAAAUAUACAUGUAUCCGAAGUUAAUAAUGAGAAAGAUUUUAAAGCUAUAGUUGAUAAUAUAAGAAAACUUCAAGGAGAAGAGAAUCACUUUCCGCGUUUCCUGACCAAAAGCUUUUUUUGUUCAACUCCGAUCGAAGUCUCGUUCUGCUAAUUGGAAUAAUCUUCCCUUCAAAGGUUUGAGAUUCGUCUUGGAUCAUGAUGAAUUCCAUCUUCGGAAAGCGAAAAACUCCCGCAGGUUUCUUCAAAUCCUCAGAUCCCUCUCGAAUUGCUUCUGUGAAAGAAAAAAAAAAUUGAAUUGUUAGGGCUUUCAUCAUCGCUGUUAUUUUGAUCUAUUGUUUUGUGACAUCUUCUCCUCCGUCUGGUGUUUUAAUUUGGGUUUUCAGAACUUCUGCGGGAAAACAAGAGGAUGCUUGAUAAGUCAAUCAGAGACAUUGAGAGGGAGAGGCAAGGCCUUCAGACACAAGAGAAGAAGCUUAUUACCGAGAUCAAAAAGACAGCAAAGCAGGGACAGAUGGUUUGUUUUUGUCUCUCUUAUGUUAACCUAUAUCUUGUGUACAUUAGAGUUAUGAAGUGUUUGGUUGGCUUAUUAUGCUUUUUAGUUUUUAAUGAGCUUUAUAAGUUUGAUUGAAUAGAUUGUGUUUAACUCACAGUUUGACUUUAAUUGAUUUUUGGUACUCUCAGGGAGCUGUGAAGGUGAUGGCAAAGGACCUUAUCAGAACACGACACCAGAUUGAGAAGUUUUACAAGCUUAAAUCUCAACUCCAAGGUGUAUCUCUCAGGAUCCAGGUAUAUAUGCUUUUACUUCUUGCCUUUGGUUAUUGCGAAAGUUCCGUUUCCAAAACUAAUGUUUUGUGUUAAUUUCAGACUCUGAAAUCAACGCAAGCAAUGGGUGAGGCAAUGAAAGGUGUGACUAAAGCAAUGGGGCAGAUGAACAGGCAGAUGAACCUGCCGUCUCUGCAGAAAAUCAUGCAAGAGUUUGAGAGGCAGAACGAGAAGAUGGAGAUGGUCUCUGAGGUGAUGGGAGAUGCUAUUGAUGAUGCUCUGGAAGGAGAUGAGGAAGAGGAAGAGACUGAAGAUCUUGUUAGCCAAGUCCUUGACGAGAUCGGUAUCGAUAUCAACCAAGAGGUAAUCACAUUCUUCUUCUUUUUAGAUAUCCAAUCAACAAAACUGAAUCUGAAUUGAAACUGAGACUGGCUGCUUCUGCAAAUGCUUAACUUGAUUGAACUGGUCUGUUGGUGUUUCAGCUGGUGAAUGCUCCUUCUGGUGCGGUGGCAGCACCAGCAGCAAAGAACAAGGUGGUGCAAGCUGAGGCGGCCGGAGCUGAGGACGGUGGGGGAAUAGAUAGUGAUCUUCAGGCAAGGUUGGACAACCUUCGAAAAAUGUGAGGCGUUCUCGGUUUCUGUAUAUUUACUGUUACCCUAUUACUUUUAAACUUCAAAGGAAAAUGUGGCAAACCAGGAUAUGGUUACGAUUUGAGGGUGGGUUUGUAAUAAUUUCAUAAUUUGGUCCCUGAUUUAUAAAUCUCAUUGUUGUCCCUUUAUACUUUUGGACACAGCUCUAGUAUGACCCUCAGGAGAAAAACAAAAAUAUCUGUUAUCACCAAUUCUAAUUUAUAUGGCUAUAAGGAUAGCAAUAUUAACAAACUGACAUUAAUGAAAGUUUAAUCUCAAUCGGUAUGAUAAUGUUUUUUUUCUUCGAUCAUAGCCAUAUGAUUUUCAUUAACUCUUUUGGUUGAGACAUAUUUCCUUUCUAACUUUUAACCAAAAAAUCAUUGUUUAAAUAAGAAUAUAUAACUAUGUGAUGACCCGGAGAUAAAUAAAAUAUGACAAAUAAGAAAAUAAGAAUUUUAGUAUAACAUAUAGAUUUUAAUAUUAUUAAAUAAAAAUUCGUUUUUAAUUAUAUACUUCUAAGGCCAGCAGGUCCGGCAAUAAACGAUCUGCAUCGACUAUUGCUAGAAAAACGCCGUACCGUACGAGAUCUUGGAUUCUUUAUAUACAUCUAAAAUAAUCCAACAACAAUUAAAUAUCGUCACUUGAAGCCUUGAAGGUGUUAAAUAUGAUUAAUUAACAUCCUAUAUAGAAUCCAAGAAGUAAAAGUCUUAAGCAAACGCUUAGAUGUUCAUACCAUUUUUCUUCUCUCCGGAUAUGAAUCAAUCGCUUAAUCAGUUCACAUGCAAUUUAUAUCUUCAACCACCAUGAUUAACUAUUAGACUCGAAUCUUAAAUAAAUGCAGGACCUGUCAACAUUUUUUUUUCUUUUAAAUAUCACCAAGACUAUAGUUUAGUGGUUUCUAAUUAAUGAACAACCAUUUUCUUUGUUUAGAAUAUCAUCAAGAUUGUAUUUUAAUGGCUUCUAUAAAUUUCCCCAUCCAUAUUAUUAACAGGAUUUGAUGUGUUCAGAAGCAGAUCUAGAACUUCUUAACAUGAAGCAUUUUUAUGAUCUUUGAAUGUCAGAGGUAUUGUGCUAAUUAUUUUAAUAAAUUCAAAGUUGUGGAUUAAAAGAUUAAAGCUAAUUCUAUUUAAGAAUCAAAAUAUUGAAUUACUUUUUUUUUGAAUUAUAUUGAAUUACUUAUAUUGAAUUACUUAUACAAAGAGAAUAUUGAAUUACUUAUACAAAGAGAAUUUAAAUUUAGCAUGUGACAUUUCACACGUGACCCGUUGGUUGUAACACGACCGUGGAUGUGGUUCGCUCUAGUUGAAGGUAAAUAUAGCAAGUAAAACCCAUGAAGAAAAUGACACCAACAAGCUUUAGAUAUUAGAUAUAAUAACUAUUUUUUUCUAUUAAAGCAUACAAGAAAAUAAUAAAUCUGUUCUUUUUGGUAGUACCUAGGUGGCAAUUAAAAAUAAUUUUUAGAUGCCCUUCCAACAGAAAAAAGUAAUUUGUCGUGGAUCUAAAUAUAGUCCAAAAUGUAUAAUUAUAUCACAGCCCAGUCCAUAUAUAGAACAAUUAGUUACGUGAUGAUUUUUUUUUUUUGUCAUCUUGUAUUAUAAAAGCACAAAAGCUAGAGACCAGCAAAUACAAGGAGGCCCAACCAAGGGCAAACAAAAAAACCCAACACGGCUAAAAAGAAAGCCCAAAAAAAACCAGAAAAAAAGGUCCAAAAUGAAGAAGGUGAAUCAACCCGAACACAUCCACGCGUUACAUUGAAAGCGAUGGAAAGACACGUGUCCGAGAAAUGAAACGCCACCGAUCUUCACGACAAGAAAAUCGUCACCGGAGCAACUUCCCGAAGAUCCACCGGACACACCGGAAACAGGAUAUCAGAAAGAAGAGACCGUCGGACAAUUUUAGCAAAAUGAAGAGCCAUAACGCCAGCGGUUUAAUCACAUGAGCUCCAUCAUCGGAGAGCAGCCUUCACAGAAACCCAGACGCUUUGCAGGUCUACGGCUCGGAAAAGAAACUAAUCGUCAUCAAUCGACCAAUCAACCAUCAACUUUCCGGCAUGCAGUUCGGUCACCUUUAAAGAUAAAGGAAAGCACGAAGAUGAGACAACCUCUGACGAGGGGAGAAAGAUCAGACGACAGGAGAUUAGAAGAGAGUCGAUUGCAAUGAGGAACCACAAGAACCGUAGACUGAAACAAAAUCGGGAUGAACCCGAGGAGAAGCCGCCGUCAACACAAAGAAAAGUGCGACGCGGAGACAGGAGCCAGCCGUUCUUCACCGGAGAGGAAGGUGAGAACGCCGGAGACCAAAGCCGACCAUCCAUCAUGACAGAUGCGAUGCCGGAGACCAAAACCGGUCGGAUGAGACCGAAGCCGGUGAGAGGCUUGAACGAUGGCGAAGAAAACCAUCAUAAAAACUGACAACAAAGCUUUCUCAAUCUCCUCUCCGUGAAGGAUACGAGAGAGAGAACAGAGAUGAGAGAGAAAACUUCUUUUUUGUUUUUCUUUCUUCUAAGUGUAAGAACAUGUUUCAAAUUAAUAAAAAUAUAAACAUUACAGAAAAUAACAAAUAAUGUUUCUAGUUGUUUUUAUUUUACUGAUUUGAUGGUGGUAGUUGUUUAAAAAAUUGAGUUUGAUUUUUUUUUGUUUACUUCAUCGUACUUGAUUUUAUGUUUAUAAAAAUGUAAUAUGAUUUCACGUUCAGUUUUAUUCAGCCAUUUUAUAGAUUUUUAAAAUUUAUGUUCAUCCCAAACGAAUUCAAAUUGGCUGAACUAAAAAUAUAACCUUUUCUUUCAGAGCUUCAAUCGAGAGAAUCAAAAUCAUUAUCUGUCGGCAAAAAAAAAUAAAUAAAUUAUGCAACCAAAUUUUGCUCAAACUAUUCUUUAACAUUAUAUAUACAAAUAUGUAAAAUUUGUAGGAAUCCCUUCGGCUCCAUCUUCAUUUUCCAAUUUUUCUUUCCAGAAAAUAAUCAUGUUUUUCUUUUUGAUACAUUAAAUGACAAAACAUCAAAAGAAAGAGUUUAAUGUUUAUUCAUUUUUAUAUUGGAAUUUGAUGAUAUGUAUAGUAAAGUAUUGAGUGGUCUAUUUAAUGUUAUUUUUAAAAUAAUCUUAGUAAAAUCGGUUCAAUUAAAAAAGAGAAAUUUUGUAUGUUUACCACUUUUUUGAUGUAAUUAUUUAUCUAUAAAAAUAUAUUAUUCAUUAAGUGGCUAAAGACUCUUAUACCAUUGUUCACUAUAUAUAAUAAAUAAUUAUUUAAAUAAUUUAAUAAAAAAUAAUUUUUUUUAUGUUUUCGAAUUAUACUUUGAUUUUUUUAAAAAAAUUUAUUUGUUUUUUCAUAAUUUCCUUUUGAAAAUCAAAAAUUAUGUUUGUAACUUUUAAAAAAAUAAUUAUAUUUUUUAUUUAUUUAUUUAAGUAUUUGUUAUAAUCAUAAAUUUUACAUUAUAAAAACUAUACUCUAUUUUUCAACUCUAAAAUCUAAGCGUAGAUUAGUUAAUUUAGGGCUAUAAAUAUCUUUUGCUUUUCAAUAAAAAUGAGUUUAAAAUUGAUCAGUGUAAAGAUAUUAGGAAUCUGAUAUUUUUGGUAAUUGUUUAUAUUUAAUUCAAAUCAAAAAUAAAUAAUAUAAAAAAAUUAGAGUUAUUUUCUACUAAUCCUUCUUCUCUUUCUAUAUCAACAGAUUAGCAGUGCAAAAUUGACUCUGAACGAGAAUCCCAAAUCUAGGGUUCGCUUUCAGGGCGGCGUGCAAUCCAAUGGCGAGUGUGUACAUCCCCGUUCAGAAUUCAGAAGAAGAAGUUAGGGUUGUUCUUGACCAGCUCCCUCGUGACGCCUCCGAUAUCCUCGAUAUCCUCAAAGCCGAGCAAGCUCCUCUCGAUCUCUGGCUCAUCAUCGCGGUUCGUUCUCUCUUCAACUCUACUGGAUUAUAUCGAGCUCUCUUCAGAUUAAAUGGAUUGAUAAAUAACUUCUAAUUUAAUUUUUCUGAUUUUGGCUUGGUGAAGAGAGAGUACUUCAAGCAAGGGAAAAUUGAUCAGUUCCGUCAAAUAUUGGAGGAAGGCUCAAGCUCUGGUACAUGAUAAUACUGCUGCCAUCAUUCAGAUUAUGAUUUUAACUGAAAGAAUACUCAAUUUGUUUGUAUUCUUCUUGAUAAGAUAUUGACGAGUACUAUGCUGAUGUUAAGUACGAGAGGAUAGCAAUCUUGAACGCUCUCGGUGCCUAUUACUGCUACCUUGGUAAAACCGAGACUAAACACAAGGAAAAAGAAGAUUAUUUUAUCUUGGCUACUCAAUACUACAACAAAGCCUCCAGGAUCAAUAUGUGUGAACCUACCACUUGGGUUGGCAAAGGUAAUCACUCUCACUUGUCUUAUUCAUUUUCUCAUGCUCGAUACUAGAUACAGCUAUGUUUAUUCUCCUGUACAAUGCCUUCAAGAUAAUAAGAUCCUGAAAUGUAAUUUGUCGGUUUGCAGGUCAGCUCUUACUGGCUAAGGGUGAAAUAGAUAAUGCAUAUCAGGCAUUUACGAUUGGGUUAGGCACUUCUGAGGACGUUCCUGCUCUUCUGGGUCAGGUAUAUUCUGUAAUGAUUUUCAUUUUAUGCUACGUAACUAAUGAGUUGUAGGUUGUUGGAUUCUAUAUAUGAUUUUUACUUUUUUCUUAGUUUCUUGAAGAACAAUCAUGGUUGUCAUGUUUCUUGGAGCAUAACUUUGGUUGCUUGAGAAAGUCUUGAUUUAGAAUUGUAGGUACAGUUAUGUCUGUUUAAGACAUUAAUGUCUUCUUUGUUUCUUGAAGCACAUAUACAUAUAUGUAUCUAGGAAACGAACAUUAUGAGUUAGCUGGUAUAUCAGAUUCCGGAUCUUACAGUGGAGUAUUAGCUUAUUCUCUACUACUUUGCAUAUCAAUAACUUACCCUGUCACAUAUACAGGCUUCUGUGGAAUUUCACCGUGGACGUUUUUCUGAGUCAUUGCAACUGUACAAGGUAUGCUUUUUUUUAUCAUCAAUUAAUAUAUUUCUGUUUGCCAAUUUUGAAUUUAUAGUUGAUAUGGUCUAUAUUUGGAACAAAUUAAUAAUCUUUUCAUUUAUUCUUUGACUAUCUUAAGAGGGUCUUGCAACUACAUCCCGGCUGUCCUGCUGCUGUGAGACUGGGAAUUGGUCUUUGUCGUUAUAAGUUGGGACAACUAGAUAAAGCACGGCAAGCGUUUGAUCGCGUUUUGCAGGCAAGUAGGACUGGGAUGUUUUAUCUCACUUUCUUAUGACACAGCCUAUUGAAAGCUUCAAUAAAGAGUGCUAUUUACCAUAUUCUAUAUCUACAGCUAGAUCCUGAUAAUGUUGAAGCUCUUGUGGCACUUGGGAUCAUGGAUUUACAAGCAAAUGAUUGUAAGUAUAACUCAGUUUUAAAUCUUACUGAAGAGGUUCUUUUAAAUAAACUUCUUUUUGGCUUUUACUGAUGACAUUUCAUGUGUGUAGCUUUAGGAAUGAGGAAAGGAAUGGAGAAAAUGCAGCAAGCGUUUGAGAUUUAUCCCUACCGUUUGAGAUAUAUCCCUAUUGCGCAUCAGCCCUGAAUUAUUUAGCCAAUCACUUUUUUUUCACCGGCCAGCACUUUCUCGUUGAGCAGCUGACUGAAACGGCACUAGCUGUCUCAACUCAUGGGCCAACGAAGUCGCAUUCUUUUUACAAUUUAGCACGGUCAUAUCAUAGCAAGGUUUGACAUCUUUUUGUAUCAUCUUGCCUACCUUGUCUUGAAGAUAAGUUUAGCCAGGAACUAUGUGGUCUACCCUAGUAUACGUUAGGGUGAAAAAGCUAUGAACUUGCCAGUGUUAAGAAAAUGGAGGAAGAUAAAGAGAAAAGCUUGCUUAACGAUUUUAUUUGACAUAUAGGAGAAUAUAUCAUUUUGUUUCCUUUGUGUAAUCUACCUUUCUGAUGUUCGAUGAUGUUCUUCUUCUAGGGGGACUAUGAAAAGGCUGGGAUGUACUAUAUGGCAGCCAUCAAAGAAACUAACAAUAAGCCACAAGAGUUUGUGUUUCCCUACUUUGGUAAAUUCCUGUUUCCUGCCCUACUGAAUUCCCUUCAUUCUUUGUAUUUUACCAUCUGAGUCGUUAGCAAAGAUCAUACUAUCUGUUUCUAGUUUAACUCAGGUCGAUCAUUUGUUUUUGUUUUUGCUGACGUUGCAGGUUUGGGUCAAGUACAACUAAAGUUAGGGGAGCUCAAAGGAUCAGUAUCCAACUUUGAGAAAGUAUUAGAAGUCUACCCUGACAACUGCGAGACUCUGAAGGUCAUGCUUUUUCUUAUUGGUCUUUCAUCCUUUAUUUUCUCAUUUGAAAUGCUUCAUGUUCAAAUUUCUUUUCCUUAUUUAGGCUCUCGGACACUUAUACACUCAGCUUGGAAAAACUGAUAAGGCCCUUGAGUACAUGCGGAAGGCCACAAAACUUGAUCCACGUGAUGCCCAGGUCAGUUUGGUUUCAUAAUUCAAAAGCCUGAUCUUUCAAAAUGUUGAUACUUGAUCUUGAGAACACCUUUUCGGUUAUUUUAUUCAUGGUUCCUAACUUCUUAAAUCUUAAAUGUUGCUCGAGAUUCAGUAGGGCUAUGGAUCUUUAUCUAUUGCAAUUGUUUCCAAGCUUUGAAGCAUUUUCUUUCUUUACUUUCUACAUAAAUCUUGUAGGCAUUUGUUGGCCUUGGUGAGCUGCUGAUAUCAUCUGACACUGGGGCUGCACUUGACGCCUUCAAAAUGGUUAGUUUUAUUUGAAGUAUGUAUUGAUAAUUGUAGAUCCUGUUCAAGUACAUGAGCAUUGUCUGAAAACAUAAAAAACGCCCAGGCACGGACGCUCAUGAAAAAGGGAGGGCAAGAAGUGCCUAUAGAAGUCCUGAAUGACAUUGGUGCUUUACAUUUUGAGAAAGAAGAAUUUGAGGUUCGUAAUGCCUUUGUUACUGCUCGUUUCUUUUAAAAUUUGGCUAUUGUCUUCAAUACACUUGGUCGUUUCAGUCUGCGCUAGACAAUUUUAAGGAGGCUCUGGGAGAUGGAAUAUGGAUUAGCUUCCUUGACGAAAAAGAAAAAUUAGAGGAAACAGGUGUAUCUGUUCAAGGGUACAAGGAUACUGGAAUUUUCCAUAGGCUGAUUGAAAAUGGUCACUCUGUCGAUGUACCUUGGAACAAAGUCACAACCUUGUUUAACAUGGCUAGAUUACUUGAGCAGUUACACAAAACUGAAACAGCGACUUUUCUGUAUCGGUUGAUACUUUUCAAGGUAUAAUAACUCUUACUCUCUUGUGGUAUUAUUUGUUUCUAUGGUUGUAAGAUAUACUUGCCAUGUCUCGCGUAAUUUUUUUUGAAUGCUUGAUGAUUUUGCUUCUCUUGAUUUCGGUGGACUUACUCUGACUAUCUAUUUCGUGCAGUAUCCUGGCUACAUAGAUGCUUAUUUGAGGCUUGCUGCGACUGCCAAAGCUCAGAACAACCUUCCUCUAGCUAUUGAACUGGUCUUCUACAAUUUUCAACAUUCUAUUCAUUUUUUUAUAUAUUAGCUUGUUUUCUAUUUCUGACCGCGUUUUCUACGUUCCCCUCUUAGGUGAAUGAAGCUCUGAAGGUGGACGAUAAAAAUCCAAAUGCUUUGUCUCUGCUUGGUGAAUUGGAGCUUAAAAAUGAUGACUGGGUUAAGGCAAAAGAAACCCUUCGAGCUGCUAAUGAUGCGACUGAUGGGAAGGAUUCAUACGCUAUUCUUUCUCUGGUAUAUUAUUCUAUUUCCAUUUAGUGUGGUACGGCCUUAGAUGGUUUCUGGUUGUUCCCACUUAUUCUACAAGAUCUUUUGCUGGGCGUAAAAUUUCUUCUUGCAAUGGUGCAGGGAAACUGGAACUACUUUGCAGCAAUGCGCAAUGAGAAAAGAAAUCCAAAAUUAGAAGCUACACAUCUGGAGAAGGCCAAGGAACUUUAUACUAAAGUAUAAUUUUCUUCGCUUCUCUCUUCUCGUUAUUACCAAUUUGGAAAUAAAUCCUGAUUGUGUUUUGGUGGAGGGUGGUGGACGUUUCAAUAAUAUUUUUAUAGGGCGUCAAUGAUAAUAGUUUUACUCAUUGUUGGUCGUUGGGAUUAACAGGUCCUGACUCAACAUAGUUCCAACAUGUACGCUGCCAACGGUUCUGGCAUUAUACUAGCAGAGAAAGGACAAUUCGAUAUCGCCAAGGAUAUUUUUACUCAGGUCAGCUAGAUCAUUUACCAUUCAUGCUUAGGCUAGUUAGAUUCUUCAAGUCACUGAAACUUCGACAAUAUUUUAGGUUCAAGAAGCUGCAAGCGGAAGUGUGUUUCUUCAGAUGCCUGAUGUAUGGGUGAAUCUGGCUCAUGUGUACUUCGCUCAAGGGAAUUUUGCCUUAGCCGUGAAAAUGGUUUGUCAUUUCUAUAUAGUAUCGUCUCCUUUUGGUUUAAUUUCAACGUUUUGCUGAUGUCUUCUAUUCCAUUUCAGUAUCAAAACUGCUUGCGGAAGUUCUUUUACAACACAGACUCUCAAAUUCUUCUUUACUUGGCCCGUACCCACUACGAGGCUGAGCAUUGGCAAGAGUGCAAAAAGACACUGUUAAGGGCCAUUCACUUGACUCCUUCGAAUUACACAUUCAGAUUUGAUUUGGGUGCUGUUAUGCAGAAAUCAUCAUCUUCCACACUUCAAAAGAAGAAGAGAACAGCUGAUGAGGUUGUCAUACUAAAAAUAAUCUCUUGUACUAUUUUCCCUUGUGUUUCUUAUGCUUUGACGAUCAACAGAUUUCAGCAUGCAUCGUUUGGGAAUAGAUAGGACUACGAGCUUGUUUAUGUAGAACUUGGGAAGAUAAACAGAUUUUAGAAUGCUUCUACAAUGUGUAUAGUAAUGGCUAAGAUCUGAAAUCCUAGUUUGAGUUACACUAAUAAUUCGUGGAAUAGGGAAUAAUUGACUUUUUAACUGACAAGUGAAUCUGCUUGAUUGACUAUGCAGGUGCGCUCAACAGUGACAGAAGCAGAGAACGCUGUUCGCGUGUUCACUCAGUUGUCUGCUGCUUCAGACCUACAGGUUCAUGGGUUUGAUAGUAAGAAAAUACAAACCCAUGUUCAGUAUUGCACACACCUUUUAGAAGGAGCGAAAGUUCACCGUGAAGCUGCUGAGCGCGAGGAGCUACAGAACCGGCAGAGACUAGAAGUUGCUCGUCAGGCUGCCUUGGCAGAAGAAGCACGCCGUAAAGCUGAAGAGCAUAGGAAAUAUCAGGUAACUGCAGACUUGCAAGUUAGCUAUAUUGAAGAUAUUUUCAAGGCUGUGAUAUGCAUUGAUGGAUUCUCUCUCUUUGACAGUUGGAGAAAAGAAAACAGGAAGACGAACUGAGACGACUCAAGCAAGAAGAAGAAAAAAUUCAACGCAUAAAGGUGUGUGGUCCCCUGCUUUUGAUUACAAUGCAGAUGUGUAGUCUCGAGAAGAAGAAAAACAUGAUGUUUGAUACUUUGAACUUGGCUUACUUCUUUAGACGUUUAGGAUAUUCUGAUUUUGUUCUUUAAUUUUGAAUGUUUAAGGAACAAUGGAAGAGCAACACACAUGGAUCUAAGCGUAAGGAUAGAGCUGAAGAUGAUGAUGGGGAAGGUAGGCCGAGCGAGCGGAAAAGAAAGAAAGGUGGGAAGAGAAGAAAGAAGGACAAAAGCUCAAGGGCUCGACAUUAUGAGGAUGAUGAUGAAGAAGCACCUACUAUGGAUGAUCAUAAUGAAGUGGAAGAUGAAGACGCCAACACCAAUUAUAAUAGGGAAGAGGAGAAUCAAGAAGCUGAGGAGCCUGUGGAUGAUGAUGAUGCUCAUGAUCUUCUUGCUGCUGCUGGGCUUGAAGAUCCUGAUGCUGAUGAUGAUGAUGGGGUAAUGACAAUGCCAGUUCUUUUUUUCGGUUGGAAUCAAAGACAAUGUUUUGACGUCGGUUUUGCUUGGGUGCAGGUACCUGCUUCAGUUGCAAGACGAAGAAGGGCACUUUCGUCAUCAGAUGAAGAAGGUGAAUUGAUGGAGAGUAAGCCAAAUUCAAGCCCGCAGAAAGAGAAUUCUCCAGGAAGGCAAGAAGAGAGCAAUGUGGAAGAAGAAGAAGAAGAUGCUAACUUGAACGAUGAGGAGUAGACCAGUUGAGAUCUUUCAUACUUAACAGAUCUCUGUGUUUGUAACUUUAGUGAUAAAGAUUCCAUUGGUUGUCUUUAUUCAAUUUUCCUAGGAGUCAUAAGUGCGAGGACAAAUAGCAUUCACAUGCCAAGGAUCAGUUUUAAAUAUUGGGUUAUUUGGGUUGAGCCUUGUUUAUUAUUAUUGUGAUUGUUAAAUGGAAAGUUACUUCUUUUUUUGUUUCGACACCAGUUUAGGGAGACAAAAUAUACGUAAGAAAGUUAUUCGUUUUAUUACAAUUAAAAAUCUGAAUAUCGUAAAUGUUAAAAAUAAACUGAAAUAUGAGAAAUUUUACAGACACUACGAGCAUAAUAUAUUGGUAUUAUGAGAUUUUUAAGCCGGUUAGGCAUGAGCAAAUUCUGAAUAAAGAUAAAAAUAUCUUGAAAACAAACGAAUUUUUUUAAAAUGUCAUGAUAGACCCAAGAUUUACAUAAGCGAUCUAUUACUAUAAAUACAAGGUAAAUGAAAAGAGUAUAGAAUCGAGAGGUCAGUCUACGAAGCUAUAAAAACAAGUCGAAGAUCUUCAGAAAAUGGAACACAAGAAUGUACAGCAGCAACCUAGCUCUUUAGCGAACUAAGCGUCUAGCGAUUUCUCUUUGAUUUUGCUUCUUAGACUUAACUUUUCAGCAUACGGCGAAAAAAAGUCAAAUGAAAAAGAAAGGAAUAAAACACACCUCACGCGGACCAAACUAAACAAAUCAGCACGUGGAAAGAGACGGUCUUACACCAAAAAAAAAAAAAGAGUGGUCGGUCCAAAGAUGCCGAGAGAGCUUUCCUCCUCCGCGCACCUUUUUGUGUAUAUAAAAAACAAUAACCAAUCGCAAGUCCACAACACCCAACUUUCACUCUUUCAAUUUCUAAAUUCUAAAAAGGUAAAGUCCUCACAGACUUGGUUACUCUUUUUUUGUGUGUAGACGGACACUGUUUUGUUCUUCUAGUAAAUGAAGUUUUAGCUAACCAAUCAAUGCUUUGACAGUUGAUUUCUCAGAUCUGAGACUUUUCUUUGCUUGAUCGAUCGGAGGAGGAGGUAUGGCGGCGCAGGGAAACUCCACGGACACACUUUUCUCUCCUUACAAGAUGGGAAGAUUCGAUCUCUCUCACAGGUGAUUCGAUUUUAGCUUGAUUGAUUGAUUGAUUGAUUUGAUGAAUUAUAGUGAAUCUCAUACCGCGUUUGUGUGUUUCAGAGUGGUUCUGGCGCCGAUGACACGUUGCAGGGCGUUGAACGGCGUUCCGAACGCGGCGUUGGCGGAGUAUUACGCUCAACGCACCACUCCCGGCGGUUUUCUCAUCUCCGAAGGCACCAUGAUCUCUCCCGGAUCCGCAGGGUAAUUUCUUUUCCCCGUCACGUCAACGAUGAAAUUGCUGUUAACUGUUCUGUUAAAAAUAUAUUAAUGGCUGUUCUGUUUAUUAUUCUCAAAAGGGUAAUAAACUAAUAACUAAGAAAUACUAUUAUUUUAAGGUUUUGUAAAGAUGUUAUGAUAGGUUGUUUUUAUUUGUGUCGGUAAAAAUAUGAUAGGUUGUUUAUUUUAACAUUUAAAUAACAAUCAGGUUUUUAUUUCUCCAGAUCAUAGUGGUUUUUGUUAUAAAAAAGUAAAAAACUAAGAAAUAUUAUUUUAUUAAAAAUGUUAUGAUAGGUUGUUUUUAUUUGCGUGGGCAAAAAUAUGAUAGGUUGUUUAUUAUGACAUUUAAAAAACAAUCAGAUUUUAUUUCUCCAGCCAAUAGUAGUUUUUCUUACAAAAUAUCUCUAUAACCCAACUUUUAUAAUAUUUGUUAUAGUUAAAAUGUAAAAUCAACUAAUUCUUAUUGCUUUGUGAGAGCCUUUGCUAUACAAAAAUAUAUCUAAAAGCUUUUUACAUUGUUAAAAUAUUCAGAUAUGAUCAAAGGCAAAGAUAAACCAUUAACAAAACGUGUAUGAAUUGAAAAUGUUAACUAUUUUUUUUGAUAAACUAUUUUUUUUUUAAAUGUUAACUAUUCGCCACCAAAAUAAUUUAUUAUGACGAAAAAAAAUAAAUGACUUGCUUUAACGUAGGUAACGGACUUACCAAUAGUUAAGUGCCAAGAUAAGAAUGGAGAUGUGUGUUUGUUUUUAAAUCUCAGCACACAUUCCGACAAAAAAAGGUUGAGAAUUACAUAUUUGAGAACACUAAAAUUCGUUACCUACGUUAUUAGCAUGUCGCAAUAUACAAGACUUGUAGUUUCAAAAAGAUAAAAAAAAAAAAUAUAUAUAUAUAUAUAUAUAUAUAUAUACAAGACUUGUAUAAUAAUGUAGGUUACUUGGCUGCAAAUAGUCCAAUUAAUUUGAAAUUAUUUUUCAGGUUUCCACAUGUACCAGGAAUCUAUUCAGAGGAACAAGUAGAGGCAUGGAAACCCGUUGUGGAAGCAGUUCACUCCAAAGGAGGUCUCAUCUUCUGUCAACUAUGGCAUGUUGGACGAGCUUCUCAUCCGUGUAUGUCUUUUAUUUACUAAAAUGUUUCUGAAAAAACAUUAUAAAAAUAAUUUAACAUUUUCAGUUUGAUUUUGAACAGUGUACCAACCUAAUGGUGGAUCGCCAAUAUCGUCAACGGACAAAGCCAUCUCAGAAAGAUGGCGAGUUCUGUUGCCUGAUGGAUCACACGCGAAAUACCCUAAACCUCGACCUCUACACGCUUCCGAGAUACCUCGAGUGGUGGAAGAUUAUUGCAACUCGGCUAUUAAUGCAAUCCGAGCUGGUUUUGAUGGGAUUGAGAUCCAUGGAGCGCAUGGUUACCUCAUUGAUCAGUUUAUGAAAAAUGGGAUCAAUGACCGUACCGACCAAUAUGGAGGCUCCAUUCAAAACCGUUGCAGAUUCUUACUUCAGGUACCAAUUCUUUUACACUAUAUUUUAAACUUUAGAUGUUUAAGAGUUAAAAUAUUUUCUUUCAAAAGAGUAAAGAUAUAUUUUGUUUUAUACAAACAGAGUUUCUUCAAACUUUUGCAUUUAAAAUUAACAUUUUCUGUGAUAUAAAAUGAUUUAAAAUUGUUUUAUUUGGAAAAAAAUGAGUGUAAAAUGUAAAGGCAUAUACUAUUUUACCUUUGUUCACUAUAUUUGCUAUUAUAUAUGUAAACAUCGAAUUUGAAAAGAAAGUUUAUUUGUUUUAAAAUAAAAUAUCUUUUAUUUUAUGAAUUAUUUCAAUACAACGUCAGUAAAACAGAAUUCAUCUGAAGUUUGCGUUUAGAGUUAAAAACUUGUUCACAUUAGCUAUGUCAUUUUAAAAAAAAUAUUGGGUUGAUUGCAGGUAGUGAAAGGUGUGGUUUCAGCCAUAGGAGCUAGUAAAGUUGGCGUCAGGAUAUCUCCAGCAAUAGACCAUCUCGAUGCAACUGAUUCUGACCCACUCUCCCUCGGGCUAGCCGUGGUUGACUUGCUCAACAAGUUACAGGACGAUACUGGCUCCAAGCUCGCUUACCUUCACGUAACACAGCCUCGGUACCACGCUUAUGGGCAAACAGAAUCUGGAAGGCAAGGCAGUGAUGAGGAAGAAGCUAAGUUAAUGAAGAGCUUGCGUACGGCUUACAAUGGGACAUUUAUGUCUAGUGGAGGUUUCAACAAGGAACUUGGUAUGCAAGCCAUUCAGCAAGGGGAUGCUGAUUUGGUCUCCUUUGGCAGGCUGUUUAUUGCAAACCCUGACUUGGUUUCGCGGUUUAAGGUUGGUGCGAAGUUGAAUAAAUAUAAUCGGAAGACGUUUUACACUCAAGACCCCGUUGUUGGCUACACAGAUUAUUCCUUCUUGGCUCCAGCUUCUCGCCUCUGAGUUUGAGAAACGAGGAGAAGAUUUAUAGAUAUCUACAUCAAUUCAUUGAUGUUAUUUUGUUUAUUGAUGUUAUAGUAAACCAAUAAAUUCUCCGUAAAAUGACAAUGGUAAUCAUAUAGUAUAUAUAUCCUGUGUGGCCUGCUUGUUCGUGUUUCAUUGAAUCGUUAGUGGUUGCCUUUUUGUUUUGCUUUGAGAGCAACAUGUAUUAGCUAAAGUCUUGAACCAGUGGUCUUAGUCAUGUUUCCCCACCGCAUAUUCGCUCUCACUCCGUCAGUUUAGGAGUCUUACUUUUGGCACAGAGUUCUUGUGUCUCCGGUAUCCUGUCGCUUCAUGUUUGUCUUUGAUGGCCUCGGUUUAAGCGGUAAAAACCGACGAGGCUUUGUUCCUUUAGAAUGGUUCCAGUUUGAGUAAGUGGUUCUUCUCAUCUCCAGGAGGUUUAUUCUGUCAAGCUGCGGGUUGGUUUGGGUUUGGAGGGAUUAACCCUUGGUGUGAAAUCUUUGUUAUGGUCUUGAUGCUUGCUUCUGGAUUCGUUGGCUUUCUCAGAUAGCGCCUUUAAGGCUCUUGGCUUCCCUAACAGUUAUGUUGAUGCUACUUUGUGGAAGUGUGAUUCUGGUGAAGGAUUUGUGUCUUUAAGGUUUAAGGUUUAGUUUGUGUUGUAAUGUCUCCGAGAUGGUCGGCUUGUGGCUCCAGUUUAUAUCCGGCCUAGUUUCUCUUUAAGCUCUUUGUAGUCUAGCUUGGUGAUACAGUUCGUCCUAGUAUAGGAUGUGAUGAUUGUGUAUUGAACUCUUGUUCUUUCUUUGUUUAAUCCCAAAGAAAUGAGUAUUGAAAAUGAUUUUCUCCCAUGGAUAAGAUAUCAACAUUUGAUCCGGUUAGGCAGGCAAGUAUUAGAACAGAAUGAAAACAACUUGAACAAAGCCGUCUAUGAAACCAUAAACAUGUAAAGUGGUUCAAUUACAAAGUAGAAACUUGCAAACUUCAAUCAUUAGAGAAAUAGUGCAGCAGUUAUUACAUAUCAGCUAAAGUGACAAACUAGAAACAUAACAUGUUCUCUUGAAAGGGAAAGAAAAUACAAAGCCGAUGGGGAUCAUAUGCUCUAUUCGUCGAUCAAAGACCCUACUUGUUGAGGUCUUUGAAAACGGGGCUGUCCAGAGCAACACCCAUUGAAUUCAAGCCAUUGUCCACAUAGAUGGUUGCACCAGUUAUAGCAGAGGCCAAUGGAGAUACCAAGAAGGCCGCUGCAUUCCCAACUUCAUCUGCAUCAUCAUAUUCCUCUUUUGUUUAAUAAAAUUUCCAAAGAAAACUGAAAGCCAACAAGAGAAUGCUUGUAUAGAAGGAAAAUGAAUGAACCUGCGGUCAGUGUUUUCUGAAUAGGCGCGUUAUUGUAUGAAUACUCAAUCAUUGUGUCUAUGAACCCAAUUGCUUUUGCUGCUCGGCUUCCCAAAGGACCUGCAGAGAUAGUGUUGACCCUAAUGUUUUGUUUCCUUCCAGCUUCAAAUGCAAGCACACGUGUAUCACUCUCUAGUGCGGCCUUGGCAGAACUCAUACCUCCACCAUACCUAACAACAUAAAUUAAAAGAGACAUUUGUAAUCAUCUAUUGAGAAACAAAACAAUGUUGUGACGCUAUAGUAUAAACUCUUACCCGGGAAUGAUCCUUUCAGAGGCAAUGUAAGUAAGAGAGAUAGAAGCACCUCCUAAAUCAUAUCAUAGAGAAACAAAUAAAAUUAAAAAAAAAAACAAAUAAUUAUAAAAGAAGAAGAGGAGGCAUACAAAGUUUAGUUACAUGCCUGGGUUCAUAAUUGGGAGAAAAUGGCUGAGGAGGGAAACAAAGGAGUAGCUGGAAGCAGAGAUAGCAGCAAGAUAGCCUUUCCUCGAUGUCUCCAGUAGAGGUUUGCUAACCUAAAAAAUAUCAGAAGAUCUCCCAUUAGGCAAAACAGAAUAAAGUUCUUGCAAAACAGUUUCAGAUAGAGUUCUUGCCUCUGGUCCAUUUGCAAGUGAGUGGACAAGAAUGUCAAUGCUUCGAAAAUCUUGUCUCACACAUUCUGCAGCUUCCUGUACAGUCCAGUGUGAUGAUCCAGCAUAUCGCUUAUUCGCUUUCACCUGGAAAAAUAAAAUGUAUCAUAACUAAUUUGGAUAUUAAGGGUUUUAAUAUGAUAGUGAAAGAUGUAUUCUCUCACGUACAUCUUCAGGGACAUCAUCAGGAGUGUCAAAGACAGCAUCCAAAGGAUAAACCUUUUUAAUCUCCAUCAAUGAUCCGUCUGGCAACCUGAAUUUGAGAUAUUAGAUGAUGUGGAAAAACAAAAGAAACAAAGAGUUGAUCAGUUUUUUUGUAAGUCCUUACACGCGUGACUGGUCGAAUUUUCCACGUCUCAAGCUCGUCUCAAAAAUGUUAAGCGCCUAGUAGACCACUCACAGGUCAGAACAUGAAGAAACUAAAAGUAGUAAUACAAAAAAAAAGGAAACUUACAGGAACCCAAGUGCCAACCAAAAUUUCAGCACCAGCAGCAGCAAGAGAUUUGGCUAUGGCCCAACCAUAUCCAUUAUCAUCAGCGAUACCAGCAAUGAAAGCCCUUUUCCCUAGAAACCAUUUAACGCAGUUGAUUUAAUCCAAACAGCUCACUGUCUUGUAAAUAGCAAUCAAUCUUAGUAAUGAUGAUUAAGAUAUGACUACAUAGUAACCUCUCAAAUCAAUGGGAAGUCCAGAAGAAGCCUUGCUUUCGCUGGAUUCAGACAUGGCCUUUGUCGAAAAGGAAAAACUCUUUUUAGAAGCUGGAAGAGCACUGUUGUUUCUCAAACAUCCCAGGUUCGAUAGAUGGCGAGUGGAAGUGAGCUUAUCCCAUGAUGCGUUCCCGUGAUUGACACCGACAAUCCCUGCUUUAACAACUUUGCUAGAGGCAGCAGAAAUGCUUGGCCUUGUUGUAGCCAUUUGCAAGCUCGAUGCUGCUGAUGUUGCCGCCAUCCUCGCAAUAUUUCAAAUAUUUUCUGUGCAAAAAAAAUGUCAGAACAUGUAAAGAAGACCAAUGAGCUUUCUUUCUAACAAUCCAAGUUAUAAUAAUCUGCACAAAAUGCAGAUCGACACAGACAUUGGAGAAAUAGAAUUGAAAAUGUCCUGCAUUUAUAAAAAUGAUUUGAUUUAUAAUACGCAAUCCAAGUUCACAUUGACAUAACAAAGAAAACAAAUGGCACAAGUUCUGGAUUUUUCGCAGCUUAACGUCAGAGAAAACUCAAUUGACUGAGAUAAUUAAAAACCCAAAACACAUCUGCAUUUUUCCAUCAAACAAACAGAGAACCAAAGAGAGAGAGGGGGAGAGAUAGAUACCUGAUAGAGCCUAGAGAGAGAAGAGAGAAGAGUAGGUUUGCUUUGGUGUGAAGUGGGGUAUGUAAGGGGAGCGGGUUCGAUGAGAUCGAGGUGUCUGUUGUGUCUGGCGAAGUUAAGAGGUUGAUUGUAUGUGGUUUUUGUUUUAGUUUUUGGUUUUUGUAAACAAAAACCAUUUUUCAUCCAAUUAAUUUUUAGUUUUUAGUUUUGUUUUUGUAGAAAUCAUUUGAUUUGCCAAUCAAGAUUUUUAAUAAAUAGAUUUCUUAAAAUUUAGGGAAACUAGUUUUUGAAAAAUUUAACCAAUUUGUGAAGAAAAACCAAAAACCAACUUUUGUGAGCUUUUAAAAGGAAAAACGAAUUUUGAUUUUUUUUGGAUAGAAACUACAAUAUUUAAUUAAUUAAUAAUUAAUAAAUAACAUUUUUAUAAAGAUAAAUAAUCAUACAAUUUUUGGUACAUUAGCUAUAAUUUAAACAAUAAUGUGAUAUAACUUAUUUGUGUUUAAUAUCUGUAAAAUAAAUUUAUAUAGUUUAUAAAUAAUAUUAAUUAAUUUUAAAACUUAGUUAUUAAUUUCUCUAUAUAAAAUAAUAGAAUAAUUUUAAUAAUUACUAGUCACAUUAAAAAUAACUAAAAUUAUAAAAACAUAAUAUGUUUUAGUAAUACAAUAUAUUGUAUUAGUCAUGAAAAAUAAAAAUAGCCAUUCAAUUUUAAGAAAAUAUAAAUAAUUUAUAUGAGAAAUUUUAUAAUUAGUUUCAAAAUUUUAAGUAUUUUUAUUUUUAUAUAAUUUAUAAUAUUUAAAAAAAAUAUUGCUAUAUAAGUUUAUAAAAUUAAAAAUAAUUUAUAUAAGAAAAAUUUCUAAGUAGUUUCAAACUUUUAAAUAUUUUUAUUUUUUUGCAAUAUAUAAAUUUUAUGAUAAAUAUUUUAUUAUAAUAUAAUUUUUAAUAAAACUAUAAUAAUUAAAAUAUGUUAUUAUAUUUUAAUUUAAAAUAAUUAUCAUAAUAUUUUGACAAUUUUAAUUGUAAAUAUAAAUAUUUAUUUCUAUUUUGUUGUAUUAUUUCAAAGUAACUCAUUACUUAAUUUUUGCAAAAAUAAAAAAAAUACUGCAAAACCAAAAACCAAAAUCUAAAUCUAAAAACUAAAAACUAAAAACCAAAAACUGAAAACCUAAAACCAAAAUCUAAAAACCAAAAACUAAAAUCUAAAAACCAAAAACUAAAACUAAAAACUACUGAAACAAUCAUCACCUAAGUGAGAAGUUUUUUGUCCCAACUAGACAAACCGGAUCGGUUUCGUCACAAACCGGAUAUUCAAGGUUUAACCGUAACCUCUUUCGGAUCUUUUAUUUUUCGGGACUAUUACACAAUUUUUUUUAUUUAGGCCUUAUUGUUUGACUAAUUUUCUGUUUUUGGUUUUUUCAGAUAUUGGUUUUAAAAUUUCAAACUAUUAUUUUAUGUUUUGUUUUUGUUUUUGUUUAAUUUUUAUUUUAAAUUUUGAGUUUUUUAUUUUUUGGUUUUUAUACUAAAGUAUAAAAAAUUUUAGAUUUGAUUUUGUUGUAAAAUCAUACCAAGUUUGAGGUGAUUCGUAUUAAAAUGAGAAAUUCAUGUUAUUCAAACGUAAAUUUUAAAAUUGAUUUCAGUGUUAUUGAAUUUAUCAUUUCAUAAAAUAUUUUGGAAUCUAUUAUUAUUAAACAAAAUUUGAGUUGUAGAUUUAAUAACACUUUAAGUGUCUUUAGAGUAUUUGAGAGGUGAUUUUCUCCCAUGGAUAAUAUAUCAACAUUUGAUCCGGUUAGGCAAGUUUUAGAACAGAAUGAAAAUAACUUGAACAAAGCCGUCUAAGAAACCAUAAAACAUGUGAAGUGGUUGAAUUAAAAAGUAGAAACGUGCAAACUUCAAUCAUCAGAGAAAUAAUGCAGCAGUUAUUACACAUUCGCUAAAGUGACAAACUAGAAACAUAACAUGUUCUCUUGAAAGGGAAAGAAAAUACAAAGCCGAUGGGGAUCAUAUGCUCUAUUCGUCGAUCAAAGACCCUACUUGUUGAGGUCUUUGAAAACGGGGCUGUCCAGAGCAACACCCAUUGAAUUCAAGCCAUUGUCCACAUAGAUGGUUGCACCAGUUAUGGCAGAGGCCAAUGGAGAUACCAAGAAGGCCGCUGCAUUCCCAACUUCAUCUGC